RNAcentral lists this long non-coding RNA (80711 nucleotides) under Setaria viridis. Its description in RNAcentral is "long non-coding RNA (SVIR_LNC001363)". Lineage: Eukaryota; Viridiplantae; Streptophyta; Magnoliopsida; Poales; Poaceae. The record is from RNAcentral.
UUUUUUUUUGAAUGGUCCCUUGUCAACUUGUAAUGGAAGCCCAUACGGUCCAUUUCAUGUAUAAUGUAGUAUUUUAUUUGCUUCUCAAAAUUUGAAUUUUGACGCAUAUGAAUAUAUUUUUCCAGCAAGGAAAAAAAUAUAAAUAUACCAUAUGCAACAAAGUCGAUAACGCUGAUAACCCAUAAAAAAAUCUAGCCCUUUCAUUGCUCAAAACCAAAUACUCUAGCUUGCCCCUUCUUGAGCCGUUGGUGCUGAUUUCCGUCGAUUAGAUGAUACAAGUCGUCAUGAGCUGUUGCAAUUGCGACCUGCAGAGAAUGCGGUGGGUCCUGCUUCCUUGGCAUCUCCUUCUUGCAUAGUUGGAGUACGCAAAUUCUUCUUUAUGAAAUGCUUAUCGAAGAAAAAAAUAGUCGUAUGCAGUUGUGCACUGCAAGAGCCUCAUCGGCGGCCCCUCUUCCAAGCCUUUGUGGAGGCCAUCUGAAACCAACUUCAGGAGAGCAAAUUUUAACUUGUGUGUAGUGAAGUGAUUUUUCUACAUGUGGCCAGCUAAAAAUUGCCUUAAAAAUUAUGACGGUCAGAUGCUGACCUUUACCAUGCACACAACACACGACUCCCUACUGAACGAUAGGCAGCAUAUAACAGCUAGCCGUGGGGACGUCGUCGCUGCGAUGUUCCAACAGGAAAGAGAAGAUCAGUUACCUUAUUGGUGAUGGGAAAUCUAGCUAGAUGGGGAUGCCCAAGCGUGUGCAUUAUUACGCGAGAUAGCAACAGCUUCCAGCGUUGCUGCUCCUCAUCACUAUCAACAUAAACUGAACUGGACCCCAUGGGGUUGCGCAAGAAUCUCUCUGAUUUACGUCUAUUCCAUCAAAUUAUAGGUCGUUUUGACUUUUUUAGUUCAUAAAUAUUAUGGUAUAUAUCUAGGUGCAUAGCAAAAACUAUACAUCUAAAAAAGCCAAAACGACCUACAAUUUGAAAUGGAGGGAUUAGAUAAUAGAGGCAAUUGACGAGCAUAUAUAAUCCAUGCUCCAAGUCUCUGUUUCGGGCAAAUGGAAUAUACACAAUGUGUUAAACUGUUUCUAUAUAUACCAUAUUUUUCUUCCAACUCUGCAUAUUUGAGGAAAAAGAUAGAUAAUAUAGUGACCUCUACAAACGAGGAAAUAAAUAUUUCUGCUAACAUAAAAAUACAGGCAAUUGCAUGGGUGAUCUUAAGCAUACCGAUGUUAAGUCACCUUCAGGCUAGCAAUUGGGCAUUAACCCCAUAACAGAUAGAGAGCACAAAGAAUAAUUGAGACAGACUUUCCCUAACCAAUUCUUUUAUAACCAGAAACUUGCGCUUAUUCAUAAUGGAUUGGAGCAUGCGAAAAUAGCCCAAAGCAAUCACCAGCCAUGCUUCUUGUGAGAAUAAGAUAUCUCCUCCUGCAGCAGCUGCUGCUACUGCUCUCCAUCUUGGCAACCAACUGUGCAAACGCUUCCACAUCUUUGACAGGCCAUGGGGACGAUGAGGCAGCUCUUGUGGCUUUCAAGGCCAAGAUCUCUGGCGACUCUGGCAAGCUGAGCUCCUGGAACGAGAGCACCAGCUACUGCAGCUGGGAGGGCAUCACCUGCGGCAAGAGAUACCCGUGGCGGGUGGUCGCUCUGGACCUCAGUUCCCAGGGCCUCACCGGCACUAUCUCCCCCGCUGUCGGUAACCUGACUUUCCUGCUCUCACUCAACCUGAGCUCCAAUGCCCUUCAGGGAGAAAUCCCUCCCAGUAUCGGCUCUCUCAGCCGCCUCCGGAUCCUUGAUUUGAGUGAAAAUAUGCUCAACGGCGUUAUUCCAAGCAACAUCAGCCGCUGCACCAGCCUCCGUGUGAUGAUGAUCAGUAGAAACAAGGGGGUGCAGGGAAGCAUACCAGCUGAGAUUGGGAACAUGCCGUCGCUUGCUAUUAUAGAGCUGUUCAAAAACAGCAUCACCGGAACCAUCCCAUCCUCUUUCGGAAACCUUUCCCAAUUGACCGUCUUGUUCUUGUCGUUAAACUGUCUCGAGGGAUCUAUACCAGCAGGAAUAGGGAACAAUCCAUAUCUUAAGUCCAUUCAGCUUAGCGGUAACAACCUCUCAGGAGUACUUCCUCCUUCACUGUGCAACACAUCAUCUCUAUAUGUCCUUUUUGUGGCACAAAACAAGCUGCGGGGCCGGUUACCAUCUGAUCUAGGAAAAAGCAUCCAACGUUUGGGGCUUGGAGGAAAUCAAUUUACUGGAGCUCUUCCACAGUCAAUAACUAAUCUCUCCAGGCUCCAGAUUCUACAUAUCGAAAGUAAUCAGUUUUCCGGAGUAGUUCCUUCCGAAUUAGGCAGAUUUCAAAAUCUUGAAGUGCUUGUUCUGGAUGAAAACAAGUUUGAGGCAAACAAUGAGCAAGAAUGGGAAUUUAUUGCUUCUUUGACGAAUUGUAGCAGAUUACACAUGCUGUCCAUUGGAUGGAAUAGGUUUGCGGGGAAAUUACCAAGUUCAUUGGCUAAUUUGUCCACCAACCUCCAGUGGCUACGGACACCCAACAAUAAUAUAUCUGGUGUCAUCCCAUCAGAUAUUGGAAAUUUGGCAAGCCUUCAGCAGCUUGAUUUUAGACAAAACUCACUCACUGGGGUCAUUCCUGAAAGCAUAGGAAAGCUUACACGAUUGGUCUAUCUAAUUCUGCAUUCCAACAACUUUUCAGGACGUAUACCAUUCUCCAUCGGAAACCUCACUGAAAGCAUAGGAAUUGGUGCAUACGCCAACAGCUUGGAGGGCCCAAUUCCACCAAGCAUUGGAAACUUGAGCAAACUUUUAGGCCUAGAUCUAUCAAUGAACAAGCUUACUGGCUUGAUUCCUAAUGAAAUUAUGAAGCUAUCAUCAAUCUCAAUAGGUAUUGAUUUGUCCAACAACAUGCUGGAGGGAUCACUUCCAUUAGAAGUUGGUAAUUUGGUACAUCUUGAACAGCUCAUCCUGUCCAGGAACAAAUUGUCAGGUGAGAUACCUGGUACUAUUGGCAACUGCAGAGCCCUGCAAAUCCUCUUAAUGGAUGACAAUUUGUUCCAAGGAAGCAUACCUGCCACUUUGAAGAAUAUGCAAAGCCUCACUCGCCUCAAUUUGACAGCCAAUAAACUGAAUGGCAGCAUUCCUGGCAGCUUAGGCAGCAUUACUAGCUUGCAGGAACUGUACCUUGCCCACAAUAAUUUAUCAGGACCAAUCCCAGAAACUUUAGGUAAUUCAACAUCACUGCUCCAUCUUGAUCUAUCUUUCAACAAUUUGCAAGGUGAAGUACCAAAAACGAGGAUUUUCAGAAAUUUAACUGGACUAUCAAUUGUUGGGAACAAUGCAUUGUGCGGUGGAAUACCACAACUCCAUCGGCCAAAAUGUCCAAAUUUAAGAGAAAUAAGGAAUAAGAAAGGUGCUUCAAAGUCUCUUAAAAUAGUAAUCCCAACAACAGGAGCUCUCUUGCUCUUACUGUCAGGGCUUCUUUGGGCUGUAUUUCUUUACAGAAAGUUAAAGACAGCACUGAAGAAAGAAAUGGCACCUCAAUUUGCAGAUAUGGAACUUCCAACAAUUCCAUACAACGACAUACUGAAAGGAACAGAUGGAUUUUCAGAAGCAAAUGUGCUAGGGAAGGGAAGAUAUGGUACAGUAUACAGAGGAACUCUAGAAAAUCAAGCCAUUGUCGUAGCAGUUAAGGUGUUUCAUCUUCAGCAGUCAGGAUCAUACAAAAGCUUCCAGGUUGAAUGUGAGGCACUAAGAAGAGUGAGACACCGAUGCCUUGUAAAGGUAAUCACAUGCUGCUCAAGCAUCAACCACCAUGGCCAAGACUUCAGAGCCCUAGUCUUUGAGUACAUGGCUAACGGCAGCUUAGAUAGAUGGAUCCACUCAAAUUCUGAAAGUCAAAAUGGACAAGGAAAACUUAGUUUAUCACAGAGGUUAGAUAUCGCUGUAGACAUUGUGGAUGCUUUGGACUAUCUUCACAACGAUUGCCAGCCACCGGUCAUCCAUUGUGAUCUCAAGCCAAGCAACAUUCUUCUCAAUCAGGACAUGAGAGCUCGUCUUGGGGACUUUGGAAUUGCUAGAGUUCUAGAUGAAGCAACAAGCAAACAUCAUAUGGACUACAGUAACUCCAUAGGAAUCAGAGGUACCAUCGGAUACAUUGCUCCAGGUAACUGAAAUAUGCUGUUCACAAAGUGCUUCACAAGGGCAUCUUUGACUUUUGUACUUACCUUUGUACGCACACCAUGUUUCAAUCUGUUGCAGAAUAUGGAGAAGGGCUUGCGGUAUCGACUAAUGGUGAUGUCUUUAGCUUUGGUAUCACUUUGAUUGAGAUGUUUACAGGAAGGAGCCCAACAGAUGAUAUGUUCAGAGAUGGAAUCAGCCUGCAUUAUUACGCUGAGGCAGCUCUUCCUGACAAGGUUAUGGAGAUUGCAGAUUCCAAUAUCUGGCUGCACGAUGAAGCAAACAAUAGCAUUGGUAAAAGGCAUAUAACAAUAACCAAUGAAUGUUUGUCUGCUGUCAUUCAACUUGGUGUCCUAUGCUCAAAGCAAUUGCCAUUGGAGCGGUUAUCAAUGAACGAUGCCACUGCAGAGAUGCAUUCUAUCAGAGAUGCAUACAUUAAUAGUCAACAACUUAGUGAUGUCGAAUCAUUUUAGUAACCACUGCCUUAUAAUGUUGUUGAAGCCUGCAUUAUACUUGCUCUUUUGUGGGUCUGUUGUAGAACUUAUAAACUGGUUCCAUGUUGUCCAUAUCAUAGGCAUCAUUGCGAAGGACAAAAACAGCAGGUUGGCCAUGAGUUUCUUUCAGUCAACUUGUCCCUGCAUUAAGAAGAGUAUAGAUCAUGUCCCUGCAUUCAAAACGUAACUUUCAGUAAAAUUGUCAUGCCUUAUAGUGGAUAGAUUUGCAGCUCUGUUGGGAAUUAAAUAGCCUUUUCAAUUUUCAUAUAUAGAUUUGGAUAGACGGAAGCAUUAUAUAAAAUUAUAGUAGACAUGUUUAUAUGAAAUGCACCCCUCGAAACUACUUUUAAAACAUAGAAAGUUACACAAUGAGUAAUAAAAAAUGCUCCAUCUAUUUAUCUAUUAAACGAUUAUCGCCCUUAAAGUUGUCACUUCUCUAACCAUUGGAUUAAAACAUCCAAUAGUUCAGAUUCAUUCAUCUCUUGCUGUUACUAUGACAGAAAAAGUGGGCGAAAUGAUAAAAUCUCAUAUGCUUUUCUGGAACAUUUUAUUCCUCUGGAGCAUUUGUUUUCUCUCGCAGGCCAAUUUUCUUAGACUGAAACAUUACAAAUUUGCAUACUGCAUGUUUAUUGUGAGAUAAUAAAAAAAUCGCAUACUGCAUGCUUAUUGUGAGAUAAUAAAAAAAUCGCAGAAUAUUCAUUAAGUAUCGGAUGCAUAUGAAAAUCAUAGCACAUGAUCUAUACUUUUGUAGUCGACAACAUUUUUAUUUGAUGCCGUUUAGUGCCCAAAUAAUGGUUUCACACAAAAAGGGUCGAAGAAAAAAAAUCCCAUUACUAUCAAGCAUUAGUGUCAAGAGAGAUAGAAUGAGAAAUUCCCUAGAAUCUAGAGGUACCAGAGAUUCGACUCCCACAAACUACACUCAUUUGAAAAACGGCCUUACUUGUGACAGAUUGCCCGGGGGCGAUAAAUUUUUCCCAUUUUCUGGCUCACUGCUGGUCUGCCUGGUCAGUUGUGUGAUAAACCUAUCACUGUGACAACUCCCAGAUUUAAAAAUUCCAAUAAAGAGAAAAAAAGUAUAGCCACCCGAGCUGAGACAAUGCACCUGAGCAUGCCUGUACAGUAUGCAUGUAGUUCGAACAAGAAUGAAUGCAUAUGCCACCAGUCAAGGAAACCAAGCUCAGCAUCUGCUGCCAUGGAAUGAAGCCAGGUCCAUCCCUACUUCAUAGGCCAUGCAGCUUCUCAGAAUCAGACAUCUGCUAAAGCUUCUGCUCUCCACGACGGCACCCUCAAAAUUUCAGAGGCAUUGAAAUCCUCCAAAAUCCUACAACACGGUGGGGUUGUGUGCACCCCCUCGCUCACGUUUCCUUGUUCGGCACCACCGCAUAGAACAGUUGAGGGGUGCAUCAUGGAGAAAAGAUCUACACUAACCAAUCUUUUUGACCUGAAAAUGAACGUGCGGCACCAUCAGUAAUGCAAUUGCACUAACCAAUCGCAUGCGAUCAAUUAAAAAUUACUCAUAUGAAAACGAGGUAUGCUUGCCUGUAUGUAUGUGUGUAUCAAACUCUAAUUUCAUGAGCACAAACCCUUCAGCAGACAUGCUGCUCGUCAGAAUUAGAUUCCUCCUCCUGCUGUUCUCCACCACAGCAGCCAACCAUGCAACCAGAGAAACAUCUUUGACAGGCCACAGGGGAGACGAGAGAGCUCUUGUGGCUUUCAAGGCAAUGAUCUCCCACGGCACGGGCAUGCUGGCCUCCUGGAACCAGAGCACCAGCUAUUGUAACUGGGUGGGUGUCACCUGCGGCAAGAAACACCCAUUUAGGGUGGUUGCUCUAAACCUCAGUUCCCAAGGGCUCACCGGCACCAUCUCCCCUGCCAUUGGCAAUCUCACUUUCCUGCACUCACUCAACCUGAGCUCCAAUGGCCUGAAGGGAGAGAUUCCUCCCAGCGUUGGCUCCCUCCAGCGCCUCCAGAACCUUGAUUUGAGUCAAAACAUGCUCAAUGGCGUCAUCCCAAGCAACAUCAGCCACUGCACCAGCCUCCGUGUGAUGAUGAUCAGUAGCAACAAGGGGGUGCAGGGAAGCAUACCAGCUGAGAUUGGGAACAUGCCGUCGCUUGCUAUUGUAGAGCUGUUCAACAACAGCAUCACCGGAACCAUCGCCCCCUCUCUUGGGAACCUUUCCCGGUUGACAAUGUUGUCCUUACAAAUGAAUUACCUCGAGGGAUCAAUCCCAGCAUGCAUCGGGAAUAUUCCAUACCUCCGUUCCCUUCAGCUCUCUUGUAAUAAUCUCUCAGGUUUGCUUCCACCAUCAUUAUACAACCUAUCAUCUUUGUUUCAGUUUUAUGUGGCAGACAACAAACUGCAUGGACGUCUUCCAGUUGACCUGGGAAAAAGCUUUCUAAGCAUCAAACACUUUGGGGUUGGAGAAAACCAAUUUACUGGACCUCUUCCACUGUCACUAACUAAUCUCACAAGGCUCCAGGUUCUUCAUGUUGGUGCGAAUUCCUUUACCGGAGUUGUUCCUUCCAAACUGGGAAGAUUGCACAAUCUUCAAGUGUUUGUUCUGGAACUAAACAAGUUUGAGGCAAAUAAUGAGAAAGAAUGGGAAUUUAUUUCUUCUUUGGCAAAUUGUAGCAGAUUGCAGAUGCUGAGCUUUGGGCAGAAUAGAUUCGCAGGGAAACUGCCACGUUCAUUGGCGAAUUUGUCCACCAAUCUACAGCGGCUAAAGGCUCCCAGCAACAACAUAUCUGGUUUCAUCCCAACCAUGAUUGGAAAUCUGGCAAAUCUUGAGGAACUUGAUUUUAGUUUAAACUUACUCACUGGGGUUAUUCCUGAAAGCAUCGGAAGGCUUUCACGAUUGAACCAUUUAUUUCUGUAUUCCAACAACUUGUCAGGACAAGUACCAUUCUCCAUCGGAAACCUCACUGGCCUAUCUUUACUUCUGGCAUGUAGCAACAGCUUGGAAGGGCCAAUUCCACCAAGCAUUGGGAAUUUGAGCAAACUCUCAGCCUUAGAUCUAUCAAGUAACAAGAUUACUGGCUUUGUUCCAAAUGAAAUAAUGAAGAUAUCAUCGAUAUCAAUGACUCUUGAUUUGUCCAACAACUUGUUGGAGGGACCGCUUCCUCUAGAAGUUGGGAAUUUGGUAAAUCUUGAACAACUCCUCCUGUCAAGAAAUAAAUUGUCAGGUGAGAUACCUGAUACCAUUGGCAACUGCAGAGUCCUACAAACCCUAUGCAUGGAUGAUAAUUCAUUCCAUGGAAGCAUACCUGCUACUUUCAAGAAUAUGGCAGGCCUCACUUUACUGAAUUUGACAGGCAACAAACUGAAUGGCAGCAUCCCUGGGAACCUAGCCAGCAUUACCAACUUGCAGGAGUUGUACCUUGCCCACAAUAACCUUUUAGGAACAAUUCCAGAACUUCUAGGUAAUUCAAAGUCACUGCUCCACCUGGAUCUAUCCUUCAACAAUUUGCAAGGUGAAGUGCCAACAGAAGGGGUUUUCAGAAAUCUAACCAGACUAUCAAUUUCUGGAAAUGAUGCAUUAUGCGGUGGAAUACCACAGCUCCAACUGCCAAAAUGUCCAAACUUCACUGCAAAAAAGAAUAAGGAAAUGAUGCAAAAGUCUCUUAGAAUAGCAAUCCCAACAAUAGGAGCUAUCCUGCUCUUACUUUCAGGACUUGUUUGGGCUGGAUUUAUGUACAGAAGGUUCAAGAUAUCAUAUAGGAAAGAAAUGUCACAUCAAUUCACAGAUAUAGAGCUUCCAAUAGUUCCCUACAAUGAUAUACUGAAAGGAACAGAUGGAUUUUCAGAAGCCAAUGUGCUUGGGAAGGGGAGAUAUGGUACAGUAUACCGGGGCACUCUAGAAAAUAGUGCCAUUACUGUGGCUGUUAAGGUGUUUAAUGUCCAGCAAUCAGGGUCACACAAAAGCUUCCAGGCUGAAUGCAAAGCAUUAAGAAGAGUGAGGCACCGAUGCCUUGUAAAGAUCAUCACAUGCUGUUCAAGCAUUAACCACCAAGGUCAAGACUUCAGAGCACUAGUCUUUGAGUUCAUGGCUAAUGGCAGCUUAGAUAGAUGGAUCCACUCAAAUUUUGAAAGUCAAAAUGGACAAGGACAACUCAGUCUGUCACAGAGGUUAGAUAUCGCGGUAGACAUUGUGGAUGCUUUGGACUAUCUUCACAACGGUUGCCAGCCACCGGUCAUCCAUUGUGAUCUCAAGCCAAGCAACAUUCUUCUCGAUCAGGACAUGAGAGCUCGUCUUGGGGACUUUGGAAUUGCUAGAGUUCUAGAUGAAGCAACAAGCAAACAUCAUAUGGACUGCAGUAACUCCAUAGGAAUCAGAGGUACCAUCGGAUACAUUGCUCCAGGUAACUGAAAUAUGCUGUUCUCAAUGUGCUUCACAAGGGCAUCUUUGACUUUUGUACUUACCUUUGUACGCACCAUGUUUCAAUCUGUUGCAGAAUAUGGAGAAGGGCUUGCGGUAUCGACUAAUGGUGAUGUCUUUAGCUUCGGUAUCACUUUGAUUGAGAUGUUUACAGGAAGGAGCCCAACAGAUGAUAUGUUCAGAGAUGGGAUCAGCCUGCAUUAUUACGCUGAGGCAGCUCUUCCUGACAAGGUUAUGGAGAUAGCAGAUUCCAAUAUCUGGCUGCAUGAUGAAGCAAACAAUAGCAUUUGUAAAAGGCAUAUAACAAUAACCAAGGAAUGUUUGUCUGCUGUCAUUCAGCUUGGUGUCCUAUGCUCAAAGAAAUUGCCAUUGGAGCGGUUAUCAAUAAAUGAUGCCACUGCAGAGAUGCAUGCUAUCAGAGAUGCAUACAUUAAUAGUCAACAACUUAGUGAUGUCGAAUCAUUUUAGUAACCACUGCCUUAUAAUGUUGUUGUAGCCCAUAUUAUACUUGCUUCUUUUGAGAGUCUGUUGCAGAACUUAUAAACUUGUUCCGUGUUGUCCAUAUCAUAGGCAUGAUUCAGAAGGACAAAAACAGCAGGUUCGCCAUGAGUUUCUUUCAGUCAACCUGUCAAGAGGAGUAUAACUGUGGGGAAGAAAUUCGAGAUCCAUGGAUGUCAUCUGGUCUAGUAUUUAAGCAUGAUUCUGAGGUUGAGAGCUUUGUUUUACUUCCAUUUCUUUCCACAAUAUUAAGCAUGAGGGACCCAACCAUCUUCAGCUCACAAUUCAUAUAAAACAUAAGGAUUUGACAUAGCCUGAAGGUUUACUCUUUUGUCUAUUCAUAAAACAUACAAGUGUAUUCUCGAGAGAACAAAAGAAUUGUUACUAUUCUGCAAGUCUGCGGGGUGCAAUUACUUACAGAAGACAAUUGAUAUAUGAGGAAUAGCUGGACUACUAAGCAUAAGCAUGACAAGAUAAAGAAAAACUGCUCAGUCUACUCUGGCAAAGUUUCCUAGUAGUGAACAAAUCAUGAUUAAAGAUUAAAGAAACAUAUUAAAAACAAAAUUUGAUGAAGAAUAUAUAAUGUAAAUGUCAUUGCUUGCCCAAGCAGCAGUCUUGAAACUUGCGACUUAUCAACAUCCACAUACUUAGACCAGUAGCAGCUGUACUUCGAAAUUGGAAGAUCCAGCCAGGGAUUGUAAUCCAGAUUGUAAUGAGCUGUUGCUGUUUCUAAAUCCCAGAAAUGUCAACAGCUGUAUCAUAGCCAAGGCCCCAAGACAUGGCACGCACAAGGCAUGUCAGGUUGUAGGGAUUAAUUAGUACUGGAUGCAAGCUGCCUAAUUUUCACAUUCUGCAAAUAGAUCUUCUCUUAGUAAGCAGAACCAACAAAAGGAACUUAAGCAGCUAUGUGUAGUAUGAUCUUUCACAGACAGAAGAUACGUAGUGGGCACAUGAAUUUGAACAAUACAAUCAGCCACAGUUUUAUUGUCACACUACUUACCAAAUCCUGCCAACAUUGGUACAUUCCAGCGAUUUUUCGCUACCUGCUCUCCUUCAUACAACCAUGCCAAUUGCAAAACCCGAUCCGAAAGCACAUGGAUCAAAGUUCUCUAAGAUCUUUUGGUGUGAGAAGUUGAGAUAAGGGAAUCGCAAUGGAAACUUUCAUUGGAGCACCAAAGUGGCAUAAAAUCCUUCUGUCCAUCUUCAAAUCAGUAAACCAUAUCUUGUGCUGCUGGAUCUGGGUUUGUGGCAUGCAUGUAGAACCUUAGGUGGUUAAACAUAGACAGAUACCUGAGCUUCCUAUAUUUCAUAUUCUCAAUUCCAUGGGCACUUAAAAUUUUGUCAAUGUUCUCCACAUGGACAGCAGCAGGCAAGGUGGAUGACUGAUAAACCACAUUGUCAUAGCUGCAAAUUAAGUCAACCAGUGACCAAAAGGAGCUAUGCUUAUGUGGCUUGUUGGCAUGUGUCAUAGUUGAUCAGAUCUGACAACUCUCCAGGCUGCAAGGACACUGACUGAAAACAAACAUUGCAUAGUGGUUGAGUGACCAAUCCUCAAGCUGGAUCUUCUUCUUCCUUCAAAGCAGCUCCACCAAAUACUCCACCAUCACACCAUCACGAAAAUAAUAAUCAGUCUUCUGCUGCAUAUGCAGGAAGUACAAGGUGCCCUGAUAUACGGUACCAUAGACUGCAGCACAACUUGCAAUCCUGUUGAUGCUUCACCAGAGUUGUGCAGAACACUGAACACAAGAUCUGAACAUUCCACAUUGCCUUUUCUUCCCCCCUAGAUCACUGCGUAGGAAAUGAGGAUGACUAAUAACUUAUCCUUCAAUGCCAGAUCAACAGGAACUGAAAUGGCAACUUUCCAGAGAUGCAAAACUAAAGUUCCUCAAACUAACUUCACUAUCCAUCUGUGCAUUCCCAAUAGCUGCUUGGUUUUGUCUUGCACACCUCACAAGCGAUGCAUACAGAAUUACAGAUACAGGUCAGGUCCUCUUCCUCCUGGUAAUGUGCAGUGGUGUCAUGGACGGACCUUGGCCACUAUCAUUAUCUGACUUUCCAUAAGCCUUUAGAGUAGAACUAGAAUCCGUAUUUCUGUAUCAAUGAGAACUGCCAAACUCCAUAACCUGCAAGCACAACAGAAUCCAGAUUUGGUGACUCGGCAGGAGAAGAAUGACUCGAUUAUUCCUGACCUUGUAGAAGUCAGUAUAAAAAUUCCCUUACCUUGCAGCAUCCGGGACAGCUCCCGGGCUGGAGUUCGAGGCCCCAAUGGCGCAUUUGAGCGCGAUAGGGAAGGGGCGCAGCGGAUCUGACGGAGGGGGCAUGUAUCACGAGCUGCUACGGGACGGAUCGAACCAGGAUUCGAAUGCACCUGGAUGGCAACGAAGACGACGAGAGCCAGAAGGCCGGUGCGGCAGCGCAUGGGAAUGGGAUACGAGACUGCGGCCUGCGCCUGCGGCCCUAACCCGGCACUAGCCCGAUGUGGCCUGGCCCAACUAGGCCCGGGACUAUCAGUCACGAUGGCUUAUCCGUACCGGGCUGGGCCGGGUCGGCACUGCAUGCCGAACUGCCAGCCCAGGCCUGGUCCUAUGACCUUUUUGUUGUGCUGGGCCGGCCCGCUGGCACGACGGGCACUAUCGGGCUAGUGCCAGCCCAAGCACUGUAAGCUCCAGGGCGGCGACGAGUGGUGCGCCUCUCGGCCGCGCCGCAGUGGCCGGCGCGCCUCCCAAUCACGAGCGUGGACUCGUCGAUGGAGCGGCUGGCGCGCCCCCACGACAUCGGUGCCUGAUGUGCCCCCACGGCAACGGCGUCUGGUGCACCUCUUAGAAGGCUAGUCACGGGCACGGCGAUAGGCCGCCGGCGCAGCUCCUAGCAGGGAAGGGAGGGGGAGGGCAGGUGAAACGAACAAGGUUUUCAUUUCUGAUAAUCCGACUCCCUGUACCCUUGUGAUAGUAUUUGGAUCAGUAGCUAUCACGUACCGAACUUAUUUCAGCAUAAUAUCAUUUCCAUACAACGAAAUCAAAGUACAAAAUUUGAUAUUUACAUCCAAAUCAACUCGGAAUAUGAAUACACUACAUGCCCCUCAGGUUUAAGCGACAAACAAAACUCAUACGCAGCGGUAGCUAGGGCUUCAAGUCUUCAUCUUCGAUCUUCCCCAUCAACCCACCGGCAUCCUUGAGCGUAGCAACGCGACCCUUCCUUCAAGAAUUCUUCAUGAUCGUAGUUUUACUCCAAUCCAUACCUGCAUACUUAUGAACUGUCCCCAAGGAAUGGAAUAGGUCCACAUCACCAUCCGUAUGCAAGCUUUAAGUGACCUAAUUCUAGUAUUCAAAAGUAGACAAGGAGUUGGCUCAGGUUUCCUAUGUAGCAGCAAGCAUAAAGAUUAAACUUCCAUAUCCAUCAACCCAUCUCUCGUCACAUCGAGAACACCGGGCACCCUGGGGUCCCUAUCCCCAUUAUCCUACCUCCAUCACUAGAGUCAAUGCGAAAGCUCCCUCCUUUCGCAUCUCAACAAUUACAGCCGGAUCCUAAAGACAGAAGGGAGCAACUUCUCCUCUCCUCGACUGCAAUUGCAACUCACCACACUCAUAUAUAGCUAAUAGGAAAGGUAGAAAUAUCCCAUAACAAUGGAGAGUCGUGAUGUCACAAGGUUGUCCAUGACCGAGGACGCGGCUAUACGUAUAGUUUUAACUCUGCAGAGUAUGUACACCUGAACCCAUCUUGGAGUGAGACAACCGGUGAUCAGCCGACUGAACAUCACUCUACCGAGUGAAGAACUUGGGAGUUACGAUACCAUCCUGCAUCCGGGCUUGGAUGUGAUCCCCCGCAGUGGACCAUCCUGGAACUAUGAAGCACUCCCACCGGGGCCAAUCGGGGGUAAAAGAAAAUCAUGAGGCUAAAGGUCAACACCACUCCCCCUACACUGAUACUCUAUCCUACGACAGGUAUGGUACCACACUUGCUAGUUUCGACUCGGGCCUAAACACAUAAUUUAGCGAGUGGUGUGCACGUUUAAUAUAUUCCUGUGAAGCAUGGUGACCCACUCGGUUUUAGAUCGGAGCGAGCUCCUAACUUCCUCAAAGCGACUCCACCACAUGGACCGCAACGGUACCCAUAAUAGGUAUCACCACCAACUCCUAUGCUCCUCAAUCAUGUACUCGCAAUAAGUACCAAACAGGAAAUGUUCGAGAACAGACCCCAAGCCCCCAAUCCAAAGAUUGGGUUGUGUAAAGCUGACCCCAUCAGAUAUCCCAAAAACUCCUUUUCCUGGUUUUAACCACACACACGCUAAGAAUCCUAUUCACGAUAUCCCAUACACAUGCAAGCGUCACACAUAGCAUAUAUAUAAGCAAUAGGGUAGUAGGUUACACAAGGAUUCAAGAUAUAAAAUAGGCUAUGCAUGGUUUAUCAUCAUAUGAAGAAUUAAAGUGUUAGCAUACUAGUAGCAAUGCCUAAUGGGUAUUCAAAUUGAAUGGGCGUGAACCUGGAGUUGCUUUCUUCCUCGUAGUGGUUCUUGAACGGCUCCGACUCCAGCUUCAGCUCCGAGUCUCCGACAAGUCCUAAUUACACGAUUACCAUAAUUACAGGGGUCUAUUUGCAAAUAAAAUCCAAAAGAGAUCCAUAGAAAACCCAAACAAGAACAAGGACUAGUCUAUCGUGUUCUUCAUAUUUUUAGAAAAUUAUGAAACUAGUUUCAUAAUUUUUGGAGUUAAGAUGAAUUAGUCAUGAAUUAGCGUAGUGUGUGCUAGGCUGCGUUCUAGGGGCCAAAAACAUGCACUUUGGCACGCGGAUGCUACACCGCGGCCACGCAAGUACUUAGGCCCCUCUUGCGGGCUCUACUGGCGGCGGACAGACAUGGCGUCACCGGCAGCGGCGGCAGCACGUCGGGGAACGGCUAGACACAGCGGGCGAGGGCGAUUAGUUCGCGGUUGGGCCAAGAGUGGCGAGGCAAAGGCUGCGCAUUGGGGUUUUCCUAGGGGCUGCGGCGGUCGCACGGUGGCGCGCCCAAAGGCGAGUUCGCGGCGAGCGCUUGGUGUGCGCGUGGCGGUGGCAAGGCAUGGCUGGGCGAAGGCACCUGCACAGGACGUGGCUCGAUGGCCGAACAGAGGCGGCGCGCGGUGGCAUGGCUAGGCGAGCGCGCAGGUCCGCGUAUGUCCACAGCCGUAGCCUUGGCUUCGGUGACGGGCGACGGCACAGAGCAGGGCAAGGCCUCACCUUGGAGGCUCGGUGGCGGGCAUGGUGCGGUGGUGAGGCGAGGCCGCGCAGGUUGAGGCCGUGCAGGGCGCACAGGGAUGUCGAUGUAGUCGUACAGGGCACCGGCUUGGCAACAGCAGCAUCACGAACGGCUCCAGGCGGCGGCGGCUCCCCUCCUCUGCUCCGGUUCCUCCCCUUCCCCCUUCUCCCUUUGUUUGGUGGUGGCGGUGGAUGGGGAAACCCCUAGGGCAAGUGGCUGGCUAGAACAGGGCAAGCGGAGGGGUUUUAAAGUGCUGAGGCUAAGGUUUGGGGGUGCCGGGGUUUAGGUGGACGGCUGGCGAUCUUCGAGAUGUGCGUAGGAGCGGCGUGGCGUGCAUCGGAUUGCUCCUAGGGUGCGGGUUGGUGCGUGCUGAGGUCACGGGUACGGCGCGGGGUUCUGGAAUGCUCCCACGGCUCCCUUGUCGCGGAGCGGGAGCAGCGCGGUACGGGACGGCGGCAGAGCAGGGCAUCAGCGGGAGAGGCGCGAGGUGGAAGGGAAAGCUGACAGGUGGGACCCACUUGUCGGUGAGAGCGAGAGAAAGCGGCGCGGGGCAGGCGUAGGCGGGCAAGCUGGCCGGUUGGGCCGAGUGUUGGGCUAGGGAGCCGUGCUAGCUUCGGUCUAGGCGAGGGGUAUUAGCAGGCCGGCGAGGUGAAGAAAGUCGGCGGGGUUCAUGGGCCGAGGGGUGGUUUCGGCUCAAGUUAGAGUAGGAGUUUAGUUUGUUUUUGAUUUCCAAUUCAAAUUUGAAUUCACCCAAAUAAAAUCCAAUUAAAACCAAAUAAAAAUCCAACUCAUUCAUGCGAGGUUCAUGACUAAAUAUUUUUAGUGCACAAAUUUUUUUACUAGAGAUUUUGGGAAGGAGAAAUUGUAGCCUUAAUUUGCAAUUUACUUUCAUGGGUCACAGAAUUCAAACAAAUUUUUUUGAAAUUUCACUUUUCGCAAAAACAAUCAUCCUACUAAUUUUGCGGGAUGUUACAGCAAGGGCGGCGACCACCUGUGGGGACGGCGACCAGCAGGGGAGGGAGGGGCGGUGCGUGUGAGGAGAGGAAGGAGGGGUAGUGCGCGUGAGCAAGGGAGGAAGGUGGGAGGGGCGGCUGGUAGGCGGGGGGAGGGGAGAAAUGAAAGGAUAAGAGUUAGGGUUUCUGCAUUUAUAUGGAUUGCUAGUAGGUAGGUUAGGCUGCAUCGUGCCGGGCCUGGGCUGGCGCUACGUGCGGAAUGGCGGCCCAAGCAUUGCCCAAUGCAUAGUGCCGGGCUAGCACGAGCACUAUUCGUCUCGUAACGGGCCGUGUUAGUGCUAGGCCUCGGGCCACCCAGUGGCCUGGCCCAUCUAGCCAUCUAUACAUGCGUCGCUGGUGGUGGAUAACGCAACAAGUCAACAAUGACUCAUUUGUUUGUUUAGAGAUUUUUUAAUUAGAAUAAGUUAAAAACAUUUUGAGGUCCAUGGUUUAGAAGAAAUAUUAUACUCCCUCUAUCCCAAAUUAUAGAUUAUUUUGGCUUAUGCAUCUAGAUAUUGGGUAUAUCUUAAGUGCAUAACAAACUCUAUGAAUCUAAAAAAGUCAAAACGACCUAUAAUUUGAUACGGAGGGAAUAAUUAAAUAGGCAGAUGUAUUUUUUAUUUGUAAUAUCUUGAUUAGCUUUUGUCAAAAUUUGAAGAUUGAGUUUUAGUAUGACUUAUCUACUAGACCAUUACUUAACUUAGGUACCUUUGGUUUCUUCACUGAAUACUGUGUUACCUUGCCGAGUGAGAAUGCACCAAGAGCGCCUUCGGUUAGUAGUUGAGUAGUUGGGUUCCAUGUUUCUACUAACUGAACUUAUCUCAGUUUGGUUCAACCCCUCGGUUAACCGAACUAACCACAGUAUGUAGUAAGGUCCAAUAACGAAUACUUUCAGCCUAGCCCAAUAGCCUUCCUAGCCCUACGUAUAUAACCUCCACAUCACUCUCCACUCCUCAGUCAAUCUCCCACCCCACCCGCCCACCCCUGACCCUAUCAUCCACUCGUCUUCAUCACAUCUAGGUGUGAGGCGGCCACCCCCAGCACCCGGUCACCCACCCAUCGGUGUCGUAAGGUGCCUAGAGCUCGGCUGGGCGCAACCUCGCUCCUCUCCAACAAUGGCGACGGCAGGCAAGGGGGUAGCCCGGAACACGGGCCGAGUGAGCCGGCGAGGCGGCGACCGACAACCGAAGCACCGCGCCUUCACAACCCCGCUCCACUCGGACAUCAACCUUCGACAGACUCCACUCCUGCAUCCCCUCUAAGCUCCAUUCGGCACGCCCCCUCCCCUUUGAGGCUCUAACAAGGAACCGUCGGCCGACCGCCCAUCCUUGGCUCCUGCUCAAGCUGUCGACAGCCGAAAUCCUACCAAAAUUUUCUCUUGAGCCUGCUAUUUCAUUGCCUGUGCAGGCCAGUCAGUUAGUUCAGUUAAUAACAGCUCGGUUCUUAUUUUGGGUUAGGAACCGAACGGUUCCUAUUUUAUGAGAACCGAAGAACCGAUCAGUUCGGUUUGGUUCAGUUUAACCAAAUGCCUAGGGCUACGAGCACAGUGUUUGGUUGAGCUAAAUCAACUCGUCUGUUCAAGUGAACUCCACAUUGCCCACGCGAGUAAAGCAAGGCUAGGCUAGGUGAGGAAAGCUCGAGAACCUAACAUUCUCUUAGUAUACAUGUUUCAAACUGAGAAAUUUUUACUAUAAGUAAUGAUGAGCUAAAGUCAUCUUUUUUUUUACAAUUAGCAUCAAAUUAGUAAAGGAUUUGUGAGUGGUGGCCUCCAAACUCAUGUUCAGUUUGCAACGAAAUUGUCGUUACCCUAACACAAAAGAUAUUUGUAAGCCUCUACCUUCAAUCUACAUUUCCUCCCUCCAGUUACCAACCAAACGCACUAUUUUCUCUAUUUUUCCUUUCUAAAAUAAUAAUCAACUUUAUACGGUACAUUAUGCUAUUGCAAUGGUCAUUUAAUCCUAAUUAUAAGAACCUCUAAGGAGGGAGGGAGGGAGGGAGAGGGGGAAGAGAGGGAGAAAGAAAGGGAGGGUGGGAAGGGAUCAUGAAUGUCCCACUGCAUUGGGUUGUAUAGAUUCUUAGUAGACUAUCUUUCUCAUCUAUGGCUGGCUACUCAACAAAUCAUGGAUCUAGGCAAGACCUAAGGGUGUGUUUGGUUAGUGGGUUGGAACGGGUCGGACCUAGAUGGACCCAUGUUUGGUUCAAAAAUGAGGUGGGUUGGGUUCAUCUCCAUAGGGAAUAUACCCCUCAGAUCCGGGUUGAGAUGGUCUGCCCAAAUCGAGCGGACCAUCUCAACCCAUUUCAACAUCAUCGCUCUCAAUGCGCGCCUGGAGCCCUACGCUGCCGGCCGGGCGAGCUCGAGCCCCGCAGCCGCCAGUCGAGCUUGAUCCCUACCGCCGUCGGCCGGGUGAGCUCGAGUCCCGUUGCCGCCUGACGAGCUCGAGCCCCGCUGUGGCUGGGCAAGCUCGAUCUCCGCCGCCGUCGAGUAGGACAUGGGGAGGGGGCACUAGCGUUGUGGGGAGGAAGGGGCCGGGCGGCACAAGAGGGAGGGGGCGGCGGCCGGCGGCCGGCGCACCUGUGCAGUGAAUGUCAGUGUUUUAUACCCGACAACCUACCGAGGGGUAUCCCAAGGUAGUAGAUUGGUUGGUGGGGGAUUGCCAGACCUAGAACUCAAAGGUAAAAGCGAGGAUACAAGAAAUGGAUUUAUACAGGUUCGGGCCGCCUGAGUAUCGUAAUACCCUACGUUCUAUUUGGGGUGUUGUAUGUUGCGCCCUGCGCUUGGGUGUUGAGGUAUGAGGAUUUGGUCCUCUGUUGUCUCCCUUGCUCAUCUAGGUACCCCUUCCCUCCUUUAUAUACUCUAGGGGGCGGGAUAACUAGUCGGUUACAAGGAGGAGUCCUAGUAGGAUUACGUGGUAUGAGUCCUAGUAGGAUUAUAGAGGAAUCCAAGUAGGAGUUCGUCUUCUUCCUUCCUUGCGGGUACUGGGGAUCUAUCCCCGACAAGCCCCCGAGUGCUUCAUAGUCGAAUGCAGUAGUCUUCAAGUACUUUUCAAAUUCUCGCCGAGUAGUUUUGGUGCACUUCGAGUACUUUGUCUGGCUGAAUCUUUAAAGUUCCUCAAAGCUGUCGUGAGGCUAUGGUGUGCUCAAGCCUUGUUCAUCUCAAUAUUGUAGUCUUCAUAUAUGGAGGGCGGCGAAAGUCGCACUCCAUAUGGAGUAGCCCUCGAGCCUUAGGUUGAAUUGAAGAAUUAGGCUGAGGUCAAUAAAAUCUUGAAUCUUCUUCUUUCGUCUUGAAAAAACUCAACUGAUGGGUGUAGCUUAUCAGCCCUCAAGCCUUGGAUUGAUUGAAUAAUCAAUCCAAGGGUAGCUUAGCCUUCACACAAGUCAUCAUCCGAGUAGUUUUGCGGCGUCUAGCCCCCAAGCUUGUGUACCAGGUGAGCCGUAGGAGCCAUGUCAAGUAGUUAUUGGUGCUUAGCCCCCGAGUUUGGAAACUAGCUGAGCCACUGGAAGUAUUUUCGAGUAGUAAUUGGCGCUUAGCCCUCGAGCCUGGGAGCUAGCGGAGCCAUUGGAGUUACGCUGAGCAUCCUGGAGAGUCGUCGCUGAAGCUUGGCCUGCAAAAAGAGAUGCAUACAUUAUGUAGCAUAUUUGUAGAAUUUAGAACUACUAAAAUUUAUUCAAUGAUGAAUAUAAAUGUUGUGUGUCAUGCUCUUGUUUCGGUCAUAUUUCUCCUGAGUAGUUAGCCUUUUACGUUUAGGCUCUCAUUAUCUAUUUAGCCGUAGCCACUGCUUGGCGAGAUCUUUGUCUCUUGUACGCGUACGGGCGCUGCCGUUUGCACAGCUGAGAUCUUUGUCUCGUGUAUGUGUGCUAGCAUUUAGGCAUGACAGAUGAUCCGAGGCUUUCACGAAUUAAGGCAUGUUCUGCUUGAGAAGAUUAGUGACCUCAAGAGAAGAAAAAAAUGAUUAGUUCGUAUUGCGACAAAAGAGACUGCGCGAUUGUGUGUAAGAGUUUGCUGCCCUCCGGCGAAUAAAGCGCGUGUUGUACGCAAGAGUUUGUUGCCCUCCUGCGAAUAGAGCGUGUGUUGUGCGCAUAAGAUUUGUGCGUCCUUAGGGUGUUGCCGUUGUGAGCCUCCAGUAUUUAGUGCAUCAAAUCUCUGGCAAUCGACUCCAAAAUUCAAUGUACCAAACCUGUGGCAGUGCCUCCACAACUCAGUGCACCAAACCCGUGACCGUAGCCUCCGUAAUUUUAUAUACCAAGCCUGUGGCUGUCGGUCAACAUGCCAUAGGAAUAGUUGACAAAUUGUAGCUCUGGAGGGUAAUUACUGUCGAAAGACAUACACAAAGAAGUAGUCGGCACGUUGCCCUGCAUACGGAAAACAAGCCGAAAAUUUAUAUAAAAUUAAAAAGUGACUUAGCUUGAUUCGUGGACGAUCAUCGAUGAAGCCAUGUCAAUUGUUGAUGAACCCAACUAGUCGGAAUCGAUUCCGACUAGUUGUCUGUCACGUUGAAUCCGCCCUCGACUAAUUUUCUAGUCGAGACGAGUAGUCGAAGUAGUCUGUCCUCGACUAGUUUUCUAGUUGAGAUGAGUAGUCGAAGUAGUCGAUGGUGUGAAGUCUGCCCCGACUAGUUUUCCAGUCGAGAUGAGUAGUCGAAGUAGUCAUCGGCGAGCGUCACGACGUAUUUGAAGUAGUCGUUGGCGAGCUGGCAUAGCGAUCUUGCUCCUUACUAAAACAGAGGCAGUAGUCACUCUGCUUCAUCUUCAUGCACGUAAUUAGGAGAUUCUAGCAUCGAUCCUGUAGCUGAUUUGAUCUUACACGUGCUGCAACUUUGGUUGGAAAUCGACGCAGCAAUCCGUUUGAGGUUCAAGUUCGAUUUCGAUUUGCACUCGGUCUUGGAGUAUGCUGACUCUGUAUCGAACUUGACGAUGUACGUGAGUCAGUGAUUGCUUCUUCCGCGAGUUCUCACGACGGCGCAAUCGUGGAAAUCAGAUUGGACAGGAACACGAAGUCGCUUGGAUCCGCCUUGGAGUUGAUGCACUUGCAGCGCAGCAGACUCUGAGACAGAAAAGGAUUCAUGUUGGUCCUGCCUCGGAAAUCGAUCCAAAAACCUUUGCAGAAUUGCUCUCCACCUAGCACCUACGCGAACUUUCUUUUUCUUUUUCGGCCAACGAUGAUGGCAGCGAAUUUGCUGGCGAUGAUGGCGGCGAAUCUGUUGGCAAUGGAUGUUGAUUUUGUCUGCUCCGAUCUUCAACUCGAUGAAUUGAUCUAUUGAUUCAUCUGCACAGAGUGCCAACACAUCGCGCCGAGUAGAUUGAUCUUUAGAAUAGGUCCUUCAAACUUGCCCGAUGAUCUCGACGAUCACCUCUACCUGGUGCGCUAGAUGUCGGUGUUUUAUACCCGGCAACCUACCAAGGGGUAUCCUGAGGUAGUAGAUUGGUUGGUGGGGGAUCAUCAGACCUGGAACUCGAAGGUAAAAGCGAGGAUACAAGACACGGAUUUAUGCAGGUUCGGUCUACCAGAGUAGCGUAGUACUCUACGUCCUGUUUGGGGUGUUGUAUAUUGCGCCCUACACUUGUAUGUUGAGGUAUGAGGAUUUGGUCCUCUGUAGUCUCCCUUGCUCAUCCAGGUACCCCUGCCCUCCUUUAUAUACUCCAGGGGGCGGGAUAACUAGUCGGUUACAAGGAGUAGUCCUAGUAGGAUUACGUGGUAUGAGUCCUAGUAGGAUUACAGAGGAAUCCUAGUAGGAGUCCGUCUUCUUCCUUCCUUGCGGGUACUAGGGAUCUAUCCCCGAUAGUGAAGAAGGAGGGGCACAGAGGAGAUGGAGGGGUGGCGCUCGGGUGGAGCUUGAGCUCCUCCAGGCCGGCGGCUGGGAGGUAGCCGCCGCGGGGGCGGGGAGGUGGCGGCCGGUGGCGGGGAGGAGGCCAGCCCACGGGCGGGGAGGUGGCCGGCGCGCCAGGGGCAGCUAGCAGGAGGUGGCCGGGUGCGGGGGCCGGGUGAAGAAGGUGGAGGAAGAAGAUAAGGUGGCUGACAGGUGGGGUCCACAACUGAUAGGUGGGACCUGAUGCUAAUGGUGUUAAAAUGGUAUCUAUUUCAUCCCUCUCAACCCCUUCAACCAAACAAAAGAUUGGAACAAACCCAUCCCUCUCCAUCCCUCUCAUCCGAACACGAGAUGGGUCGAUUCCAACCAACAAAAAGGGGUCAGCUCCGACCCAACCCACGUUGUCCCAAAAUCAAACACAUGCUAAGAAUACUAUGGACUAGCACUUAUAUAACAAAAUUUAACCAAACUGCAACUAGUAGAAGGCAACUAAUUUAUGUUGUAGAUAUAUUUUGUUCAUGCCAAGAAAAGGUGCCUAUUGUACUUAGUAAAAGAAAAAAGUAUGCUUUUGGGAAUUUGCUGCAGUACUUAAGUUCAGAUGCUCUGCAUCAACAGAGUGAACACAAAGUUCAGAUUAGGAUGGGCCUAACUUGUUGCUUGGAUGACUAGCUGAACUAGUUGCUAUUUGCUAACCCAUGCAUUUGCACAGGUAGACUGAUACAUGUUUUUUUAUAGUGCUAAGAUUCACAAGGAAUGAGCAUAUACCCACGUUAUUGAGGUCGUAUGCAUCUCUAUAUAAUAAUUCCUAUAAUAUCUAACUGAUGCAUACGUGUGUUGAGUGGUGAGAGCAUGGUGUGGAUAGAGUGUGAGAUUUUUCUUUUUUUUCUUUUUGAAAGGAAUGUGGCAACAAAGUAUAGCUAAUUUUUUUACUCUACUUUCUCGCCACAUUUGGGAUUCACUUAAACACAAUGCAAGAGGGCAAACAAAUAACUUGACAAAUCUUCUGGUUUACUCAGGGUGUGUUUGGUUGCAUGCACACAUGAUGCCUGCAUGGAUGAUCCUGCAUAGGAUAGUUCAAUCAAUUUGCUUGUACCAUAUGAUUCAUUUUAAUUAAUAGAAUAAUGUAUUAAGUGGGAUGGCCUCAUCCUGGAUGAGUUGGUACAAUUUACCCAAUCAAACAAAAUGAUCAUUAUUAUUUUGAAUCAUUUCAUACAUGAAUCAAAUGAUACAACCAACCAAACACACCUUAUUUUAUAGACUAUCCAAACUCGUGCUACCUCAUAGAAAUUAAGUGGCACUACAAAACAAACAACUGGUGCGUUGGACCACAACCACCUGGAUCUGUCAUCAUAGGUGUUCAUUCCAAAAGAAACACCUGGAUCAACAUCUUUAAAAGAAAAUAGAUUGCUGUUGCUGACAGUGUAUAUAAUGAAGCAGUCAACAUGACGAUUGAUGAAUAGUCUAUAUAUAGCCCCAUAUAAAUGCUGGUUAUGGUAACUGGCAAAUACAAUAUGUGGGUUGUUCUGUGACAAUAUAAUUUACCACACAAGUACAAAACUACAUAACCAUGUGAAUGAAUAAGAAAAUAAAGCAAAUCUGUCCGAGUAUAACAAAUAGCCGGUAAAAAAAAUGGCAAUUUGCGAAACUGCUCAUAUAAUAAGGAAUAAAUUUACUGAGAAGUAACCACAUUAACAUCCAGCAAGGAGCGUCAUCUUCCUCCCGAGAGACCAGACAUAGUGCCAACGCUUGAUUGAUGGGAUAUGAUCAUGACUGUGUCUAACCCUGCUUUACAUGCUACAUCCAUUGGUACAAACUCAGGAACAGGAUGCUGGCCUUCAAGGUACAUCAUGACUUGUUGCAUGCUGGGUCUUGCAUUUGGCAAUGGAUGUGAGCACCACAGUCCCAAUCUGAGCACUACACAUGCCUCAUCAACAUUGUAGUCACUUUGGAGCCUCCUAUCCACUGCCUCCAUGAGUGACCCAUUGCGCCAAUGCUCAGUCAGCCAAUCCACCAAUAUGAACGGGGUGGUGUCUUGUGCUCUUCCCUCAAUGGGCCUUCUUCCACAGGCAAUUUCAAGGAGGAGUAUGCCAAAAGCGAACACAUCAGUUAGAGGGGAUGCUUUACCUGUACGUGCUAACUCCGGAGCUAUAUAACCGAAAGUGCCAGCCAUGCGUGUGGUUUGGGGAUCUGUUCCAUGGUUGUAUAACCUCGCCAAACCAAAAUCACCAAGCCUCCCAUUCAUAUCUCUGUCAAGGAGCACAUUGCUUGCCUUGAUAUCUCGAUGGAUGACAACUUGUUCCCAGUAUUCAUGAAGGUAGAGAAGGCCUGAUGCUGUACCUUUUAUGAUCUGGAACCUCUCGUGCCAACCUACACAACGCCUAUCAUCACUAGUAUAUAAGUACUUGUCAAGACUACCGUUUGGCAUGUACUCAUAGACCAACAUGAGCUCUCCUUUACGUCGACAAUAGCCAAGCAAUUGAACGAUAUUUCUAUGUCGCAGGCGACCAAUGCUAACAACCUCGGCAAUGAACUCUCUCAUGCCUUGCCUUGACUCAUGGGACACCCUCUUCACUGCAACCUCCGUCUUAGAUGUUGUAAGUACUCCCUUGUACACCUGCCCAAAUCCCCCUCUACCGAUAAGAUGCUUGUUCUUGAAUCCCUCUGUAGCUUGGAACAAAUUCUUGUAUGAGAACCUAUGAGGUCCAUACUCAAUUUCCCAAUCUUCCAAAAGAUCAGCACGCUGCAAUCGCCGCCUCUGUAUAAGUAGAAAGAUGGUGGCGCCCAUUGUAAGGAAGAAGGUGGUGAUAACUAUUGGCAAAACAAUCUCCAUGACCUUGGACUGAACCUUCAACUCAACACGAGGAAGCUUUGGUAGUCUGGCCAUGUCGAUAGCUGGAGCAGGUCCUCCCAUGCCAAAGCUCAGACCGAGUACGUAAUGUUCUGUUCUAGUAGCGAUGCCUGUUGAGGCUGAAAAACCUACAUAAGCUGUCUCGGUAAGUACUGUUGACAGGUCGUAUGUGGUUGAUAUCAGUGGAAUUAUGGGUUUAGCGGUACUGAGGGGUGCAAUUGUCACAUUAAUCCGGUUAGUCUCUCCAUCAUAGUCCACCCACACUUGCAUUGCCUCAUGGCUACUAAGGGACAGUUGCACAAUACGGUUAUUUUUAUCAAAGAAAUAGGGUGCAACAGAUUCAAUGGAGUGGAGACUGUUGAUGUCAAUUCCAACAUGGUUGUCGUUGAUGUCUUCGAACUCGUAACUAAGGACAGUAUCGAGCUCAACAGCAAAGAGAUGAUUUCUCGGAUCACCAAUGUUAGCCGCACUGGUGAGUCCUAGGUACUGGCUCGAAAGUGCAUCUGAAAAAUUCUUGCUUGGGGCAAUAAAGAAGGCCAUACCAUGUCUGCUGCGAUUGGGAGCGUCCGAGAUGAUGCCAAACACGAAGGUGACUGAGAAGGAUUUAACUGUGUUGUUUCGGGAUUUGUAGAAGCGCAACGGAGUUGGGUAGAACGCAUGCCCUUUGAGCCGGUCCGUUCCAUUGGUAAGCUUCAGAAGUCCACUUGGUGUGACUGUGGCCUCGCCGUCGAUGGUGAAGUUACUACCGGUGAAGCCGCUGUAGACAAAUUGGUCAUCACCGGCGCCAUAGGAGACUGCCAGUGCAAGGCCAAGGAAGAGGAGGCACAUACGCUUCAUGUCUAGCUUGGGUGUGGGCUAUAACAUGGCAAUCGCAGCAAGGAUGCAGGAAAGAAGCAUGCCGAAGGUCAUACAAGAGCCUGCCGGCUCGCGCGUGGUAGACUAAUAAUGUAUUGUUAUCUUUGCAGCAUGAGUGAACGUCACAGUCUUGAGUUGUUGAACGUCACAGUCGUGGUAGACUAAUAUAUACUUUCAGAAUAGAAGAAAAAUUUAACUGCAUGUGAUUCUUCACCCAACGUUUUUCAAAUUGAUAAAUCUUUAGUGGCGGAGCAUUUGGUUGUUUCAAAAUAUAUAGACCUUCGAUGUACUUUAUAUCUGGGUUUAUUUUAAAGAAAAAACUUUAUAGCACAAAAUCCAUCGCAUUUCAAGUUCUAAUCUUAGCAGCUCAACACAUGAUUUUUUAAACCUUUAGUGUGCUCUAACUAAAAUCUGUGACCCUAUCUGGGAAAGAACCCGGCCAUCUUCCAAUGUCCAGUUCAACACAUGGACUUUUUCCAAAUCUUUUUGGGAAAAAAACCUGGUCCUUUCGUUGCUUAACCAAAUAUUAACUAGUCCCCUCUUGAUGUCGCCAGUCAACGGUAGACCGACGUGUUAGACCCGUUGGUUUCUCAUGCCAAUCAAAAAGGUAACAGGAAAAGUCGCCAUGAGCUGUUGCGAUUGCAACCUGCAGAGAACGCGGUGGUCCUGGUUGUGCCUCACCGGUGGAAAACUGAGCUUUAACACAUAGCUCUCGAAACUCUAACCGGAACUAAUUAUUCGAGACUAAAGAUCCACAUUUUUAGUCCCGGAUAUUUCAUCCAGGACUAAAGAUUUUCUUUAGUCCCGGUUGGUAACACCAAUCGGGGCUAAAAAGGUUAAAAAAUUAAAAAAAAUGGGAUGCACGGCCCCGGCCGCUCGUGCCCCUACCGCCGCGCUCCUGCCGCAGGUCGCGCGCCGCUCCAUGGUCUUGGCCACGGCCACCAGCGCCCCGCGUAGUAGGCCGGUCACGGGAGACGGUCCUAGCCGCCGAGUGCCCCGCCGCUCGCGCAGCCAGCCCGAGCUAGCUCGCCCGCCACGUGCCCCGCCCGCGCCGGUUCGCCGUGCCGACCCUGCGCCGACCGCCCACCCGCUCGCCUGGAAAGAAGGGAGAGGAGAUAAGAAGAAGAGCGCUGCCUGCGCGAGAUAAGGGAGAAAGAGGGAGGAGGAGGAGAAGAUAAGGUGGAGAGAGAGGGGGCCAUGUGAAAAAGAGCUUUUUAGUCUUGGUUGGAGCCAAUUACCAACCGGGACUAAAUCUUUAGUCCCGGUUGGUAAUUCCAACUGGGACGAAAGGAAGCUUUUUAGUCCUGAUUGAUAUUACCAACCGGAACUAAAGCUCUCAUCAGUGGUGGCCGUUGACUCGGGACUAAAGGUCCUUUAAUCCCGGAUCAAAAAAUGAUGGGGACUAAAAACGCUGGACGGAAGGUCUCUUCUCUGCUGGUGCUUGAAAGGGCCGGUACUAGUUGUCCUUGGAGUUACUUAGCUUUCGUUUCGCACAAUCUGACAAGAAUCAGCCAUCAAGCCACCUGGUUGGUACUCACCAUCAACUGAUGCGUGAAGUGAAGGAAUACACAAAAUGCGUCAUACGCAAAUUCCAAUUUUCAACCUUGUGAAGGCCAUUUAAAACUGCAUGACCCUACUACUGUACAUGCAUGUAGGUUUAGGAGCCCGCGGUGAUAGACCCAUGUGGAGUAGUGAUGUAUGCAGCUCCUAAUUAACUGAAUGGCUGGAAAACUCUCACAAUGUUUUGGUGGUUCCAUAGGAGUUGAAACAUUUUCACUUCCUUCCCAAAUCUUGAAUUGAAGUCAUCUCAUCAAAUUGUUUAUGCUUCAAAAGGAAACUGUAACACCCUAAAUUUCCAAUUUUGCAACUGAAUAAAAUUUAUUAGAAUUUUCUAGAAUUUAUUUGAGCUUGGUUAAGGACUUAAGGAUUUUCUAAGGUUUAUUUGAUUUCCUAGGCAUUUAAAUAUUUUUCUGAAAUUUAAUUAAUGAAUCAUAGGUUUGCAUUGUUGCAUUUAGGCUGGUGCAAUGAUUUAGGUUGCUAAGUUCAAAUUUCAGAUUUGAAUUCAUUGUUUGAAUCUCUUUUGAAAAUGGGAAAAAUUCCUCUUUUUCUUCUUUUCUUCUUCCAGCUCGGGCUUCUUCUUCUAGUCCGGCCAACCUUCUUCUUCUAGCCUACUGGCAACAGCCAGCCCGCCAGCAGCAGCAAGCACAGCACAGUAGCAAGUCGGCAGCCCAGUGCAGCUCGGCCCAGCAGCUGCUCCGCGCGCGACGCCAAUGGUGCCCCUCCUGAGUGCGCCACUGCCAAGUCACUAACGGAUGGACCCCACAUGUCAUCACCAUCCUCCCCUCACGCUACAUCCGACUUGAACCUGAGUCCUUACCGCACCCCGGUCCACCUCCGAUUCGUGGCAUGCAAGCCGAGGUUCGUCGCCCCUAUUUAAACCCCGAGCCAACCCUCCACAGUCCCCUUUCGCCAAAAACCUAGCGCAUGCCAAAGCCUGUAGCCGCCGCUAGCUAAACCUAGCCGCUCGCCUCGUCGCCAUCGAUCUGCGCCUCUGCCGCCUUCCCAUCACUGUGAGCCCCACCCAGAGCUUCGCAUUGUGGUAAGGAAGCCCCAAGUGCUUCCUUCUCCUGCUCGUUUCCAUGGCCUCCCUUGGGGGUUGUAGCGCGCUAGAGCCGCCCGUUCCCCAACUUCCGUUCAAUCGCUGUAGCGACCUCAGCCGCCCCUGGGAUCGCCCUAGCUUGCUUCGUGUCGCUUCCAGCUUGCUCCCGAGCUAGUUCUCGUAGUUUUUGGUAGCCGAAACCUCAAGUUCAAGCAACCUCCGCCGAGCGCCGCCAGCCAUCCGAUCUGGUCGGGAUGGCUCAGAUCGGGUCUGACCGGAGUCAACCCAUCAAGCGUAGCAGUCAACUGCCGGUCAACUGUGCCGCUUUUGCUUAAGAGCUCCUGUAGUUUCUUGUUUUGCACCUGAGGUCCUGCGUAAUUCAAAAGUAAUUAGAUUUAGAUCCUUAUCCUUCUGUUUUAGCCCCUAGAAGCUCUGUUUUCUUGUGGACAAGUCCAUGAAUCUUGUUUAGCUUAUAUCUUUAGCGUUUUAAAUCCAAUUUGAGUGAUUCUUGCGCCUAUGAGUUCGUGUCGAUGCAAACAACAAUUUUAUGAUCUUGUUUUUCUCUAUUGCUACUGUUUGGUAUAUUGUUUUCUUAUUUUAUUCUUUUGUGUGCUUCUAUGUACUUGUUUGAUGCGCAUAGAAGGAUCGCAGUUCGAGGGAUUCGAAGACCAAGCCUUUGAAGACUUCAGUAAGCGCCAGUUCAGGAAGGCAAGUCGUGUUCUUGAUCACAAUUUGGACCUAUGCAACCUUUACUUUUAUGUUCAAUAUACACAUGUUAUGCACUUUAUGCUUGUAAAUAUGAUGGGUCCUAUUUAAGGUUUGCUUAGCUUUAUCCUUAAACCUUGAACAACCUGGGUUUUACUUUAUGUUGGGUAGUACUUGCUUAGUUGCUCAACUUGGGUAUGGUGGUCUUAACUUGUUUUAUUUAUACUAUACCUUUCAUCAAUGCAAGAUCACCAUGCUUAAUUGGAACAUGGAAUGACAACAUAGGAAAACAGUGCAACCACAAGACUAACGGACUCUGGUCUUGACUAAUUAAUUAGAAACUCUAGUAUGUAAUAGCUUUACCUGAAAGGGGCAAGAGGGGGAGACAAUAGUUGGUGUAUAGCCCGACCCUCAAACUGAUCUACUCUAUGGUAACUUCGCAGUUUGAAAGAAGUUUAUGCAUUGCAUUGAUCAUGAAACCUUAGCGAGUUAUCCUUAUUAGGGAAUCUUUGUAAAAGCCUCGUAGUGAUUCCCAUGCCACUCACCUCGGAAGUGUUUAAGAGAGUAAUUAACCCGGGCAUUUUAGGAAACACGACUUGUGGGUAAAGAUGUACAACCUCUGCAGAGUGUCUAAAACUGAUCGAUCAGUCAUGCUCACGGUCAAGAGCGGCCUGGACUCUCGCAUGAUUAAUUUAUUGGAAGUUGAAUAAAACAUUGUUUAUUUAUAUCAUUUAUUGUUGUUUUAUUUAUUUAUGCUCAUGCUUAACGUGGGUGGUAGUAUAAACUUAUAGUAAUGGCUAAUAAAACUUGACUAACUAAUAAAAUGCUUACAUGCUAUUAAACCUUAGCCUAUCCUUGCAUAGCCUUACACUACACAUUCCCCACGCUUGUUGAGUACCAACCAUAAGUGUACUCACUCUUGCUAAAACCGCUACUCAGACCAAGAAAAUGUUGAGGAGGUUCUUGAAGACUUUGAGAAGUUCUAGGUGUACGUGUGCCACCAGUCAACUGCCUGUGGAGUCAUCGUCAUUUUUGGAGUUCCGCUGCUAGAAUAACUACUCGUUUUGCUAUUCGAUUUAAAAACUUUUGGUCUUGUAAUAAAUUUAAUACUCUUUUUACGCUUUGGCACUGUUUAUGGUAUUUACUGAAGUCAUUGCAGGUAUGAAACUUGAUCCUGACGUACAUGUAAUUAUUCAUCUGGUUUUGCCUUUAAAAUCGAGUGUGACAGAAACUUGGAUUGUUCACCUGCUUACUUAUAUUGAAUUUGAAACAGGAAACUGUUGCAGCAGCACCACUGGAGAUAUCGCCUGAAAUUUGUGAACAAAAAGCUCGUACUAUAUACUACCCAUUCUUUAAACUCUUUAGUAUUCGGUUAACACUCUUUUGCAUUAGUACAACGUGGCCGCUAUAGCUAUCCAUCAAUCGCAUUUGGAAACUUACCUGAUAAUUAACCCAAAAAAAAGCAUCCCAGAUAUCAUGUGCUGCCACAACGUCCGUGUACAAAGAUAUACAAAGUAUUUAUUUGCUUCUCUAAGGUUGAGGCAUAUGAAUAUAUUCUCCAAUCAGGAAUAUGCAAAUACCACAUCCAACGAAGUCAAUGACGCUAUACUAGUAUUAUUUCAGGAAAAAAAGGAUAUGCGCAUGUUAAGUCAAUGUCAUUUCUUUUUCAAAACGAUGUCUUGAACCAUUUUUGCUAGUAGGGGAGCAGUGCGUUGAUGCAAACCAGACUUUUGAUCCCAUCAACAAUGCAACUGAUUUAAAUAUUUUUUAAUCCCUUCUAUGCCAUUUUCAGUGGCAUAAAAAUGAAUGCCUUAUAUGCCCCUUUCUGGAAGGCAAUGGAGGAUUAAAUUUUCAAUUCAGCAGUAUUAGAGGGAUAUUGAUUUUAACAGUGGAAAUAGGGAUUAGAGUUUUUUUUUAGCAGUGACAUCUAAGGAAUUUACCCUCUGUUUAUUUUAACUCUUCAGUAGAUAAGCGGAGCGCCUUUCUAGUAAAAUCUGGCCCUUUCCACCAAAUAAUCCAGCUAGUCGAUGUCGCAAGUCAACGGUCACCAUCAGCUGGACCGACGUCUUAUACCCGUUGGUGCAGAAUUCCAUCCUUUUUUUGUGAAGUUGCGAUCGCAACAUGCUCCGAAAGGACCGGCGCUAGUCUGAAGAAUUACUUAGGCAUGUGUUUCAGUGUAAAGUGAAGGGAUGCAUAUAUAUUAGUAUAUACAUAGCUAUGCUUAUAUGUUCAUUUUGUACACCAACACUGAUUAUUAGUCUCAGGCUUGAGGUCAUGAAUGAACUUGCACCUAUCUUGCAGUUGUCACUGAUUUCCUUUGGAUUGUGAGAACUUUUUUUUUUAUUUUUAACCCUUUUUUUUCUUUAUUUUUAAAAAUAACCUCACCCGGGUUUAAUUUGCGCGGGGUGACCCUUUUGGCCGCGCCAGACCGCCUGGCGCGGCAGGAACACGCUGCCGCGCCGCAUGCACUGGCGCGGCGGCCCCCUGCCACGCUGGCGCGGCGAGUCGCGGCGCCAGUCGGGCGCUGACGUGGGCGGGGCGUUCGCCGCGCCAGACCGCCUGCCGCGCCAGCCCGCCUGGCGCGGCAGGGCCACCACUAGAUCGACGCGCCGGCUCCCUUCCUCCUCCCUCCCUCCUUUCUUCCUCCUCCAGAAACGCCUGAGCCCGAGCUUGCAGCGCCGCCCCCCGCCGCCCCACCCCCAAAUCCACCCAAAAUCCGGCGUUUUCGGUGGGGGAAAGUAGUGAAAAUCGAUCCCUGCUUCGUGUGGAAGGUAUUCCCCUACUUAUUCUCGUGUUUUACCGUUGCAUUUGGUAGAUCGGAGGAUGUUUAGGUGACUUAGGGUUAGGUUAGUGAUUUGAAAUUUCAAUGAAAUGCAAUGGUGUUUUGUGUUAGAUGAUACGUAGUUCAUACGCAAUUGAGUAUCUGCCCGCGAUAUUGACGUGUAGAACUUGUCGAUUUAAGGAUAUAUUCAUUGAAUCGUAUAGUGCAAUGUAUAUGUGUAUUUUUUGUUUGCAAUUUGUCCAAUAUAUGUAAUGUGUGUAGUUGAUAUGUCGAAUAUGUGCAAUGCGUAGUGUAUAUGACAUGGUGAAAUGUUUGUAUUUUGUAGAUGGAUCGUUUAGUUCGAUUUUUUGAUGGUGGUGUUGUGAAACAAAAUGGGGAGUUAGAGAAUAUGAAUGAGUCAAUUGAAUUCUUCAAUGGUCCUCCAAGUUUUAGUGAUUUAGUUGACCGUGUAAUGAGAAGUAUGGAUGUAGAGUGGAUGAGAUCAGUUUGAGAGGUCGUUUUGAUUGUGGGAAAGCUAGAGCUCAUUAUGUUCUCAUGAAGUUAGCAUCCGAUGCGAAUUGGAAGCACUAUAAGGAUGUUGUGCACGUAGCUAAUGUUGCAUGUUUGGAGGUUAUAGUCGAAAUUGUUCGUAUGCCUGGCCCAAAUGUUGUCAUGAGGGAGGAAGUGGCGGUAGUGAACCAUAAUGGUACCCAGGAGUCAGAAAUGUUGCAUCACGUGUUAGGUGAAACAGAACGUGAUUUUGACUUGGCUAUUGCCAAUGAUGAUUUUCCCAAUAACAUUUUUGAGAGGGAUGAAGCAAAUAUAGAUGUUGAUAAUGUCUCUAUGGGUUCCGAAGAUUGUGAAUUGGAGGAAGAUGGGGUAGUAGGUGUGGAGGUAGAGGAGGAAUCACUAUUUGAGAGUGGUGGGCAUGAAUAUGAGAACGUCGGGGUAGAAAAUGAAGAGGAUGGACCGCAAUUUGACACCGCAACCGUACAUGAUGUAGAAGGCAUUCGUCGUAUGGACGAUUGUUUUUCUUACACCCAGUAUGAGUUGCGGUUGUUAAAAGAACGUGAUGUCGAACUGCCAUCCGUUCCCAAUGAUAAGGACAUAAGUAUGGUUCACAAAGCAAUAUGUGAAUCUAGUAUGGUGAAUGCCGAAGGGACGUCCAUUGGUGAGAGUCCAGUGAUUAAGAAGGGGAUGAAGUUCAAUAGUCUUGAGGAGCUGAAGUUUUUCUUGGCUGACUACGCGGUGAGGUUACAUAGACCUUUUAGCGUAGUUCACUCUGACAAGAACUUAAGAUACAAUGUGAUGUGCAAGCAAGGAUGCCAUUGGCAUGUAUGGUCUCGGCUAAUAUCAAGCACCGGACAAUGAAGAAUUUCAAAUGUUGUGCAACCGCAUACUUGUCGGUCGUCACAGCCGAAGCGAGAGCAUGUACAGUGCACAGCAAAGUACCUUGGACGGCGUAUCCUAGGCAUUAUCCGUAAAGACAGCGAGACAUCGGUGCCAUCACUCGUGGAGUCCAUCUUCAUCUUUAGUGGGUACCGUGUGAAGUAUUCGAAGGCUUGGCGGGUGAAGCAACACGCUGUUGCCCUGCUUUGGGGCGACUGGAAGGAGUCGUACGGCAUGGUUCCUAGGGUACUCUCAGCUAUAACCUACUACAAUCCCGGAGUUAAAUGGUGCAUCGACUCAUGUGGCAUGAUGCUUCCUGACAAUGGAGUGUUGAAGCAUAUACUGCAAAGGGUAUUUUGGUGCUUCCCUCAAUGUAGUGAGGCAUUUCAACAUUGUCGUCCUGUGAUACUUGUGGACGGUACAUUCUUGACUGGCAAGUACAAGGGUACAAUAAUGAUGGCAGUUGUUGUAGAUCCAGAACAACAGCUUGUGCCUCUUGCUUUUGCCUUGGUCGAGAGUGAGAAUAAUGAGAGUUGGUCAUGGUUUAUGAAACUUGUUCGGGUACAUGUUCUUGGACCUUCACGGAUAGUGUGUAUGAUAUCAGAUAGGCAUCAUGGGCUUCUAAAUUGUGCGAAGGACCACAUUGAUGGUUUUCCACCGCUUGUGCAUAGGUGGUGCAUGAGGCACUUUGCUGCCAACAUGUCGCGUCGGCAGAAGAGCAAUCGUGUGAUUGGAAAAUUGAAAUUAUUAUGCAAGGUUCAUACAGAGAGAGAAUUUUGUGAGAAGUUAGAAGAUUUAGUGAAGGACUUGAACGACGACGCAAAAGAAUGGUUGAAGGGUGAAAUGGAGGACAAGGAUAAAUGGGCGCAGGCUUUCGAUGAGGGAGGGAUGCGCUGGGGUAUUAUGACCACGAACUUCUCGGAAUCACUCAACGGAGUUUUCAAAGGCAUCCGAAGUAGGCCCGUCGCUGGAAUUAUUGAAUACACAUUCGAAAAAUGCAACGCCUACUUUGUGAACCGAUGGGGAAAGGCAUGUGAAAUGUUAGAUCAAGGCUAUAGAAUUGGGCAAGUUGCAGAUAAUUAUUUAUCAGAGGCUGAGCUUAGAUCCGUGCAUCACUUAGCAGAACCGUACGGGCCAGAAAGGAUGGUGUAUUCUAUAAGAAGUUACGGUACGACUAACAUUGGGGGUGAGAGUCAUGGAGGCCGACACUAUAGAGUGGAUCUGCACGAAGUUUCGUGCACCUGCAAUGUUCCUCAAUUGUUGCACCUUCCAUGUUCACACUUCAUUACAGCUUGCAAGGCAAGAGGUCUUAACUAUGAAAGCCCCAUGUACAUGUCACCGUUGUACUCUAGGGAGCACACCAUCAAAAUAUGGGAAUCAAGCUUUCAACCUUACCUAGAUCCGUCACAAUGGCCGGCAUAUGAAGGGGUAGGGUACGUGCCUAACCCUAGUUUAAUGAGAAAUAAAGUAGGAAUGAGGCAGAAGAAGCGUUUCACAGGCGACAUGGACGUGUCGGAAGGGAGGCUUUCUACAGAUUAUGAUACUGGUGAUUUUGAUAUUGACAAGUCGGAAAAUCGUUGCUCCAAGUGCCACAAGAUCAUUAGGAAUUGCACAUGCCGCAGUAGAAAAUCAAAAGGCACUAAAUCUAGACCGAGCAGUAAUAGGCCGCGUACUUCGAACAAUUGGGUAUGCGCGUUGCUUGUAUUAUGCGUGGCUAUUAUUUUAUCUUUUUUAUAGUAGUACAUUAUCAUAUUUUCCGUACUUAUCAUAUAAUGAACCUAUUUACUAACGAUCAUUUUUGUUGUUUCUUUAGGAUGGCGGCCCCGGGGUACCCUCUUCUUGAGGCUGCUUACGACUUGCACCACCGUGCCCACCACCUCGCGGACCUAAAUGAGGUAUAACAAUGGUUACUAAUUUUUGCUGAUGAAUGCAUACCUUAGGAUGAGAAUUGCAAGAUUUUCGUAUGAAAUGUUCUUAUAAAUUAAGGAUGUGCCUAUCGUUACUAUUCGCUUGUGUACAGUGUAAACAAUUUCAUACUGCAAAUGUCAUUUGUAUCAUAUUUGUGUUACUUACCACUUUAGAAGCCCGUUAUUCACAAUUGGAUUGACUUCUUAUUUUGUAAUAAUCUUAUAAUGUUUUGCAGAAUUUGACACCACUGAGGGCUAGGGUGCACUCACCACUUAGGUGGGAUGAGCGGUACGCCCAGUACCUGCAGAGAGCAGGUUUCUUGGAUAUCGCUGUUCAGGUCGUGGGGGGUCUCCCUCCAAUGGACGGACCACUGUUGACCGCUAUGGUCGACAGGUGGCGUCCGGAGACUCACACGUUCCACAUGCCCUUCGGAGAAAUGACCAUCACAAUGCAGGAUGCGGCUAUGAUACUCGGCCUUCCACUGGAUGGGCAGCUAGUGACAGGUAUUAUACAGAAUGAGAAUUGGCGUGAUAUGGUCGAGAUGCAUAUUGGGAUUAGGCCGCCAGAGCCAGAGGGCGGAGAUAGCUCGAAGAAGACGUCCGGUGUCAGCUCGGCAUGGUUGAGGGAGCACUUUGAGGUGUGUCCUCCGGGAGCAAAUGACGAGGUCGUGCAGCGCUAUGCUCGAGUGUGGCUAUGGCACUUUGUCAGUACAUUCCUCCUUCCAGAUGCAGCUGGGAACACAGUAUCGUGGAUGGUUCUCCCCAUUCUAGGUCAGGUUUCGGAAAACAUAGCCACUUACAGUUGGGGCUCAGCGGCUCUUGCCUGGCUGUACAGACAGUUAUGUGAGGCUUGCCGGCGCACAGCGAGAGAUUCCAAUGUUGGAGGGUGCACUUAUAUGCUCCAGAUUUGGAUUUGGGAGCGAAUGCCCGUGGGUCGACCUUCCCGCCUCCGUGUCGAUGUAAGUCAAAACGGCUAAUUCCUUUUUCUACGUUAAUGUUCGAAAAACUAUUGUAUCAUGUGACCAAUUGAACUUACUUGCAAUUUCAGCCAUGGCAUCGAGACGAUGCUCUUCCAACGUUCUAUCACGUGUGGAAGCAUGUGCGGCCCGUUCGUGGCAAUCCGGAUAGGUGCUACAGGGCCUACACGAAAGAGUUUGAUGUUCUCACGCAGCACCAGGUAAUUUGCUAACCAUAGUUUUUUAAGCUAACUUGCGUAUAAUGGUAGAUGAAAUAAGUAUUGCGUGAAAUUUUUUGAAGGUGGAAUGGAAACCGUAUGACCGUGAGCAGCUUAGCCAUAUCGUCUUUUCACCGACGUGCUACAGAGACAGAGAGCUGUGGAGGUGCACGACCCCAAUGAUAUUGUACUACGUGGUAGAGUUUCAUAUGCCGCAUAGGGUGAUGCGGCAGUUUGGGAGGAUGCAACCAUGCCCUCCUUUGGAAUUAUCGACUUCGCAGCAGCUGCACAGGUACGCAGGAAUAAAUAACUAUUGGAGGCUAUUCAAUUAACGCAAUUAACAUGUUAUACUAAUACUUCACUAAUUUCUGAUGCAGUAUCGACCGCAGAAAGCGGUACAAGGAGAAUGAUUGGAGGGUGAAGCAUGACCAGUACCUCCUCCUGUGGCAGAACAAGCAAGGAUGCGAUCCUGAAGGUGGACCGUACUGGCGACCAAACAAUGAGUACAUAAGAUGGUACUGUACUUCGACGAGAACCAAAGUGAAACCAUCUUGGACUAAUGUGCCCAUUGAGGAUGCACCGUCUGAUGAUGACGCUGACAUAGCUGACGUGUACGACACGGUGACACGCCAUGGGACACAGCCUGAGCGUGCACCUCUCCACGACUACAUGGUAAGAUUUCGGUUUGUAAUUAUAGUAUCGUCACAUUGAUCACUUAUGGAAUGAAAACUCCUGCGUGCAGGGACAGCAGCUUGCAAGGCUCUCAAACGAGGCGGGCGUGAUUAUGGAGCACGCUGUUGGGGAAGGUGAUAGUCUGCUUCGUGCUUUUGCAGAGGUAGAAGCCCAAACUAAUUUUCACUUAUACUCGUACUAUCUUUGUAACCAUCAAUAACAUAGUCGUGAAUAUAUGGCAGAGGGUUCGUAAAAGUUGCAGGCGAAUGGCUAUGAGGAUGAACUGCAUGACAUCCUCAGAUGCGCACGACGGGGGCAAUGUCCAGGGUACUUCUUCAGGAUCAUGUCGGACUGCAUUGGCGACUACCCCCAGGGCCGCAACACCGUCCACUGCGGCAGGUCCUAGUAGGAGAUCGCGAGGUAAGGAACCCGCAUCCCCUCAGGAAAGCGAGGACUCGGAAGGUGAGCAGUCUGAGGAUGAUGACCCUACGUAUGGUGAGGAACUCGAGAUUUCUCACGAUGCUCCACCUGUGACUCAGACGCAGGGAGAGUCCAGCCAGGUAUAUUCACAAGUUUCUCCAAAUUCAAUUAUACAUUUUAAUGUUCGCUCCCGAAGUGUCAUACAAAUUUUAUGAUUUGUGCCCAAUUAUUCCAUAGGAACCUGCAACUCGUACUCGGUUGCCACGCCGGCGUCAUCGUUCCCGGGACCACACCGACGUUGGCAGCGCCAAUGUGCUGCCCACGCAUCCAAGGAGGGAGCAUCGCCCAAGAGAUCCUUUUAGCCCUCCGGAUGAGCGGCGGUCACGACAUUGAACCUAGCAUGUGCCCAAUUAUUCCAUAAGUUGGUUGUUAGGUUUAUUCAUGUCACAUUUGUAAAAGACUAAGUUGGUUGUUACGUUUUUUUAUGUCCGUACAAUGUUAUAUGUUUGCUCCAUGAUGUACUUGUAGUUCGUGUAUUUUUUCGUAAAUGUUCAGAACAAAAAUACGUUUCAGAUUGUGCAGCGCGGUCCUGAUGCCCCGCCCCACCCUCCUAGGCCGAAACCUACUGAAAGGUUACUAAAAUUGAUGCCCCAUCCCCCCGGGAAACCUACUGACCCCCCGCCCGAAACCUACUGAAAGGUCGUUGCGUUUGGCGCGGCACCUGACUCCUGCCGCGCCAGGCGGCCUGGCGCGGCACGAGCCCCCCGACCGAAACCUACUGAAAGUAACUUUCAGUUGGCGCGGCAACUGCCUCCUGCCGCGCCAGGCCGCCUGGCGCGGCAAGACCCCCCCCCCCCCCGACCGAAACCUACUGAAAGUUUGGUGCAGGUGGCGCGGCACCUCAAUCCUGCCGCGCCAGGCUACCUGGCGUGGCAAGGCCCCCCCCCCCCCCCCCCCGCCCGAAACCUACUGAAAGUUUGGUGCAGGUGGCGCGGCACCUCAGUCCUGCCGCGCCAGGCGGCCUGGCGCGGCAAGGCCCGGCCCCACCCCAACCCUUGUUUCGUUUGCCGCGGGAUGGCCCCCACCAACCGAACUUUCAGCGGCAAGCCCCCUCCCCUGCCACCAGCGCAUUUCUGCUUCGCCAGGCGGAGUGGCACAGCAAGCCCGUGGUUAGGAUAGAGAAUAAUAUUUAUUAGUAGGCCCGGUAAUUCUGGCUACAUUUAACACAAGGCACAUGGUACUGACAAGACGCCCACAAAGUGUUCUGCAAUAGGAUUAGAUCAGACCGGUGCGCAAUCAUGGAUAAGAAUAACACACACGUGCAUUAAAUGUUAGGGGUACGUAUUUCCCCAUUCGUACUUCGUCUUCUACUAUUAUUGCAUCACAAUUACCUUCAAGUACACCUGCUCUACCAGCGCUAUGCCUUCCUCCUCUUCCACCGCCCACUCCUCCUCGUCCUCCAUCCAAAUUAUCGAUCUCAUCGAAGCUACUACUAUUUUUUUCACACUCUAGCGCUGACUACUAGCUCGGAGAGCAAACUUUGAUGCGUUUGAACAUAGUUCUCUCGGAAAUGAAAAUAGUUUUUGAUAACUAAUUGUAGUUCCCAGAAUAAACAUAAACAUAAUUUUCUCAUAAAAGAACAUAGUUUUCACAGCUACAGAGAAACAUGAUCCAGCUACAUCAACACGUUCAUCUAGUCCGAGUCACCUUCAUAUAGUAACUCGUCGUCAUCAUCAUCAUCAUCAUCAUCAUCAUCUCCGGCAACAACAACUCCCUUGCCUUUCUUAUCGACAUUAACCUUAUCAACAGGUAAAUCGGCACAAGAGCCUUCAUCGUCUCCAUCUGUGCCUCUUCCGCUUUUUGUUGUAACUCUUCCAUUUCAAGCCUUCUUUUUCUUGCCCUAACUUGCUGCAAAUAUUGUUCCCAUGAACCCUCAGGGUAUUUCACAUUCGGAUCAACCACAUAACCUAAGCGAUCUCUUUCCUCCCUCAACCUUUGUUUCUCCAACUCUCUCUCCUCCUGCAACUUCCUCCUAUUUUCUCUCUUCUCAUUUUCAGUUAGAGGUCGUGGAUACUUGGAUCUAUUUUGCCUCCAAUACUUAAUAAUAGUUUCCUUUGCAUAAAGUCCUUUAGGUUCCACUCCAGUCUCAUGCACCAUAUCUUGAUAUAUUUUUCCCCAAAGCAAGUCGUCGUCAGGAAUAGGCACAUCAUACUUCUUCCUAAUCUUUUCUUUAAUUUCUUGUUGUUUCCUUGACUUCCAUGGUUCCGAUGUAUUUCCCAACUUUAAUAACAAAUCAUAUCGACCACAAAAAUCUUCCCAAUCACAUGUCCUUCCCUCCUGCAACAACAAUUAAAUAUUCUUACAAAUUUGAAACAAGUUACAACCUUCAUAAAACAUAAGAGACGAGUAGUUACUAACCCAGUAAUUGCCAUGUGCAUUUCCACAGAACGAACCAUAUCCAAGUUCAGAAGGCACCACACCUUCUGUUGCCAAUAUACCACACUUGCAUCUAUCACUAGGAGAGGACACACAUGGCCACGGUGCAUUUUCACUUUCAAACUCCCGCACUUCCUCCUCUGUUGGCCACAUUGCUAUUGGGCCGUAUAUAUACUCAUUGAAAUCACACAACGGCCACCCAUCCUGCAAAAAACCCAUGACGUGAACUACUCAUAUGUAAAGUAACUACAAAACGCUGCUCCAACUUCCAAGCAAUAACAUCAAGUUAAAGUAUGAACAAUAUACUGCAAAAUUAUAACUGCUAGCUAAACGACAUACUAAUAUUCUUGUAAUAUACUUACAUGAGUCUUUAGGGAGCAUCGAAAGAAUGGAGUAAACUUAGGUGGAUGCCCUAAGUUAGGACGCAUAAGCUUAGCAGGAACACCACACUUGCGCAUGGGAGGAUCCCUCACACGCCUACAAGCAGCCUCCUGCUUCUCCUCGUCGGUCAUCCUAGGUGGGUUUGGUGGAGGAGGAACCCAACGCCUAAACUGAUGGUAUGGUUUAAGCUCUGUGCUAUGAUAUGGGAAUAGGCGGAUCCUAGGAUCAUAUUUGUCGGGUCCAUCGAUCCACUGAAAGAAAUCACAAGGUGCGGCAGGCAGUGGAUCAAAAGUCCAUUUGCAUACAUAGAAGGCUCUUCCGGCUGUUUUUGGAUGCCUUGAUUGUUUCACCUCUGCUUGCGCGCCACAUCUACAAAGUGGUACCGGAAGGGCAGGAGGUACGGGACCAGCACCAUUGGACUCGCCCACAUAACGCACAUACCACCUACGCCGUUUGUAUUCACAAUCAAACGACGCCAUCUCACCUGGAAAUCAAGUGCAACAAAUUUAAUACACAAAUAAACUUUACACACGUAAUCCAUACUAGCUAUAUACAUCAUUUUGAUAAAAUGUAAACACUCGAUCUACAAAAUACAAACACUGAAACAAAAAUGAGACUAAUUAAUUUAAGAUAUAAAAAAAAUACAUGUCAUGUAAACCACACAAUUGGAUGAAUAUAUACCUAAAUCGAAGCAUUCAACAAGUUCUACACGUCAAUAUCGCGGGUAGAGACUCAAUUGCGUAUGAACUACGUAUCAUCUAACACAAAACACCAUUGCAUUUCAUUGAAAUUUCAAAUCACUAACCUAACCCUAAGUCACCUAAACAUCCUUCGAUCUACCAAAUGUAACGGUAAAACCCGAGAAUAAGUAGGGGAAUACCUUCCACACGAAGCAGGGAUCGAUUUCCACUACUUUCCCCCACCGAAAACGCCGGAUUUUGGGUGGAUUUGGGGGUGGGGUGGCGGGGGCCGGCGCUGCAAGGUGCUGCUGUGUGGUGUGUCUGGAGGAGGAAGAAAGGAGGGAGGGAGGAGGAAGGGAGCCGGCGCGUCGAUCUAGUGGUGGCCCUGCCGCGCCAGGCGGGCUGGCGCGGCGAACGCCCCGCCCACGUCAGCGCCCGCCUGGCGCCGCGACUCGCCGCGCCAGCGUGGCAGGGGGCCGCCGCGCCAGUGCAUGCGGCGCGGCAGCGUGUUCCUGCCGCGCCAGGCGGUCUGGCGCGGCCAAAAGGGUCACCCCGCGCAAAUUAAACCUGAGGUUAUUUUUAAAAAUAAAUAAAAAAAAGGGUUAAAAAUAAAAAAAAAGUCCGGAUUGUGAUGGCAUUGACAGAUCAAAUUUCGAGGUGCAAUUGCAUUGCAACUUGCAGAAUGCAAAGCUUCUCUAAUUUUUCGGCGUCACUUUCACUUGCAACUAUAUUACUUCAGAUCAUGGAAUAGAGGCUAGACUCAUCUUCAUUCGGACAGAUGGUAAUGUUUCAGAAGAUGACUUUUUCCUUUCUUUAAUGCUACAGCUUUCAGAGAGCACAGACAUAGUAGGAACUGCAAUUAAGUGCCUACAGCUGUACGGCCCUAUUUUCAAGUCUACAGUUGAAACCAUUAGGAAAGAACUUAUGCAACUCCCUACAGAAGACUUCUCAUGGGUGCCAGUUGUUGAUACACACCACAAAGAACAUUGGGACAAUCUUCACAACUUUGGCACUGAUUGGUUUCGCCCAAACCCGUUAUGUUGCAAGCAGAAUGUUCAGCACGAGCUCUAUCACAGUACGGAGUUAAACAAGUCAAGAUUACUAGGUGCCUUUCUAGAACCAGUUAUUGAAGUACAUCUGCAGUGCCAUGUCUCGCUCUCGGAGUGCAUCCAACAUAGGUCUUUAUUGUUCGAAACCAAAAAUUCUGUACAAGAUUCUCCAUAUCUGAAAGUUGGAGUCCUUUUGACGCCCCAUGGGCAUUUAGAAGACAUUCUACUUGUAGAUAGGAGUCCUGCAAUACCGGCAAUCUACAGUGAGGGGCAGCAUUCCUUGCAUAUGGACUUCACCUUGGGGCAACUUGAAGAGAUCAUGCUGCCAAAAGCAAUAGAUUACUUCUGCAAGAAUGACAAAGCGACAGUCUACCAAAUGCUUUGGAAAUUAAAACAUGGUGCUUCAUACAUUACGAUUGAGAAGGCAAGCAUGAGCUCACAGAGAACAAGCAUGCGGCCAUGGAGAACUUUUCAGGGACCUAGGGAAGGAAAGAUGUUGCUAUGCCAUGACCAAGAGAUAGGGAGACGGACAAAUGUGAUCUGUCAAUUCCUCAACCUGUGGGUUGCACAUGCGCCUGUCCAGCUGCGAGGGACGAUUGUGGAUUGGAUUCAGAAAGAAACGGAAAGUCAGUGCACAGCUACAUCUGAACUUCUAAAUCAUCUAACGGGGAUGGAUAAGGGAAAUGAGGAAUAAAAGACUGGAAAUGGGAUGUUCUAAGGAACACAUCAAAUAUUUGCUAUGGCUAUGACAAACAUAAAAUUAAAAUCCUAUAUCGACGGAGCAAAGCCAUAGCAAUAAGGUUGCAAAGUUACAUUAAUCUGUUCUGUUGAUUUACAAUUAGAGGUUCUAUGUUGUAAACUACGAACUUGCACAAGUAUAACACAUCACUCAUUUUUAGUUUUCGUAUGCUGUCGCUUGUUUCUCGCCAGCUGAUCUCAUUUAGCAAAAUGUGAUGCAUCUUUUAGUAGUUUCUAAUUAAUUUUUUCCAUGAGACCUUUUUUUAAAUUCCGUGAGAAUUUUAAGUGGGUGGUCAUGUACCAUGUAAUAUUUAUAGCCAUUUUAGGGAAAAAUUACAAGGAUAAUGCUCGUUUUGUGACUUUAUAUACUCCUCAUAGCUGAUAAUGACCGGGGAUUCCUCGAUUUUAUCACACUUGCACUACUGUGAUGUAGUGAGAGAUCGUGCUCUGCCCUGCCUAGGAAAUAUUCUGCGAACAUAAAGUAGUCAAGCAUCAAACUAAUUGUUUGUUCCUUUUUAAAUGAAGGGAAAGAAUAGGAAUCCUGUAAUCAGGAACUUGUAAUUUAGAAUCAGCAAAAGAAACAAGAUGGCUAUGUGCACUGAAAUAGCAGCAUGUUCAAAUCCGAGGUGGCUUUUGUAUUUUUGUCAACCAAGAGAUCGGAUGCUCAUGUUGUUCAUACCUUCUAAUUCUGUCAAGUGUUGCCACCUCUGCCAACCGAUGUUUAGGAAGCAUGAAAAAUAUGCUUUCUAAACAUAUGCUUUUUCUGGUGACAAAAAGAAAGUUUGUGUGCUUUUCCAUAUGCUUUUUCCCUCUCGAUUUGGUCUGUGUUAUGCUCUAUUUUGGAACCUUGUUCCGGAGACACCAUGGAAGAUGUCCCUCUUCGGACCCUGAUGUUAACUCAAUCACACGGGCGCCCGCUCUCUAGCUUUGUUUCUGUUCAUUUCUCCAUUCUCUGCGUGUAAUUUUCUUUUUCUGUUGGCAUCGGCUAUGGAGGCUUCAACUCUGUUUGGAACACACCAUACAUAUGCAAUAGGCUAACUUUCAGUUUGUAGAAUCUAGUUCGUUCUCUUUAAGGUUCACGUUACCGACGCUCUAAAAAGUACAUGAUAAAGUAUUUUUUUCUCUCUCAAAUAUAUAGGAGAGCUACGCAUCAUUAUAUUAAAAAGAGCGAAAAUUGCAGAAACAGUUUACAAACCUGGCGGAGAAGAGACUUACAGCACACCCUUGCAUACACCGUAUGCAGACUCUCCAAAAUAGAUCCUACAUUUUUUUAUGAUUUUUAACUCAUGAUAAGUAUUAAAAAAACACAUUAUAAGUUUUAUGAUCUUUCCAAUUCCAUCCAACUCAAUUCAACAACUAGAUCCUACAUAGUACUCAGGUUAUUUUUGGGUGUUCAUCUAUUUUUUAAUAAAAUGUGUACAUUGAUAUUAAUAUGUAGAUUUUUUUGCAAUAUAUUACGCACCAUUGUUGUAAAAAUAAAAUUCAGUAUCCUUCAAUACCAUUUCAAAUAGACCGCUGGCACCACCGUUAUAUUCUCCUGCAGUAAUACUCACUUCUUAUUAAAAAUAUAUUUUAACUAAAGUUCGAUUUAAAUACAUUUUUGAAAUAUAGUCAUUUCCCAAAAAUCAGUAGAGUAAAGAAAGAGAAUAAAAGGGGAAAAUAAUGUUUAAAAAAAAAGUAGAGCGGGGCAUUCAGCAUUCCUUCCGCAAGCCCACUACUGCUGCAGUGCUGCUGAGCGGGGCAUUUGGCUCUGGUCAACGCAUCUCGCUGGCAGCGGUGGCCAGGCCUCAGGCGGCCUCCCCGGCGAUUGGGACCGGCCAUGAUGCUGCCGGGACGGCUUCUUCUCGCUGGGCUCCUGCGCUCAGCCUCCACCGCUUCCUCCGCUCCCCGAAUGCCAACGGUGAGACUUACGGAUCCCGCAUCUAUGAGUUCUUCAUUUGGGGAUACUUUUUCUUUGCCCCUCUGUAAUUUUGCAAAAGGUUUCUUUUUGUCACGUCGAUGCGUUGCUGUCCGAUAACUGAGAGGGAGAACAAAUCUGGAUCUGCGGUUUCGUGGGAGAUACUUACUAAAAUGCUAAUGUAAGCAUUUUGCAUCUCCACCUUGCAGAGUUGCAUUAUGUCGUGGAUUGAAAUGUACACCGCAGCUUUAGUGCCAUAGUGACAACAUCCAUAAGGCUUGAGCAAAACUGCACACAAUGCAAAGGCAUGUAGGGUCAUUGCAGCAGUGCUUGUGGCAAAUGGGAGCUUGACAACUGUUGUUCAAUAGUUUGGAACCGCGACGCGAAUUGGUUAGUUUAUCUGCUCCAGUAGCAGAUGCUGCCUUUGCAGAUUCGCUGAUACUUCACCAUGUUCUACUCUUAAAAACUAUGGUUCCCUUUUCUUGGUAUUAGCAUUUUAGCAUGAUGAGGAGGAAAUGUAUUUCAUUAUGAAUUCUUGGUUAGUUCAUUCGAUUUCACUGAUUUGUCAGCAUAGCAGUUGGAUUAUCAUUCUAUGUUAGAGCUUGUUAAUAUCCUUUGUGCAGCUCGCAUCCCUUUUGCUACUACACCAAAGCAGUGCGUUGACUUCCUCCCUGUAACAAUUAUGCAGUUUACAAGAAAGAUUAUUUCUUUCAGGCUUGAAGGAAUAUUGGCAGACUUAGGCCUCUAAACAUAUUCGUUGCUUUGACAUGUAUUGGUUAUCAGAGAAGUGGAAAACUGGAAAUCCAUGCCCACUUGCUACAAGAACACAGCUACCAGAAAAGUGGAAUCCAUACUCACAUGCUGCUCUAACAUCCCGCAGUCAAACAUAAGUUUGGUUGUGUUUACAAUGCAUUUCAACUGCCCAUUCAAAUUUAAUCCACAUGUAUGCACGCAAGUCAAAUGUUUCCAGUAUCCUAAAUUCACAAUACUAUGUAAUGCUUUGACACCACCUUCUUGGCUUCUUGCUUCACAGAAUAUGUGCUAUUGGGACAGAUUUACUUGGAGUUCAUGUUAUUUUCACAGCACAAGUGAUCAUUCUUCCAGAAAAGCAGGGCUAACAGCUAAGGUAGAUAUGGUCAUACAGACUCCUUUAUCAUGAUGCUACAUAGAUUAUUUUAUUCUAUUUAAGCAUGAAUCAGAGGGUGGUGAGUCUAUUGAGUGCAUAGUAAGGCAAACAACUGGGUUGUUAUCGUCACUAUAUAGUCAUGUCACUCUUGUCUCAACCAUGUAAGGCAAUCACAUGUGCCAGAAUUCUGUUCUCCUAACAAAACCAUUCCUUUUUCUGUGUAGUAGGAGCAGCUAGACCCCUUUGUGCUGAUUAAAGAUGAAGUCUCUGAAGUGACAGAUCGAUUGCGCUCAAUGGUGGUUGCUGAGGUGCAUAAUUUAACUGAAAUCUUUGCUUGAAUUACACUAUAUAAUGAUACUUUCACCCUUUUUUUUUCUGUACCAUGAAAUACUAUAAACUACAUCACCCACCUUUUCCCAAUAGCUUAAGCUUUUGGAUGAGCUAUUUGGCGUAUGGAACUCAAUAUAUGUGUUAUCUCCACAGGUGCCUGAACUGACAUCAGCAGCUGGAUACUUCUUCAGAGCUGGAGCUGAAGGGAAAAGAACUUGUCCUACUGUAAGACCAGAUUUCAUAGUGUGUUCUUGUAUCUUAUCAUCAUACCAUAGAUAUGUACUUUUUUUAGUAGACACAAGUAUAUAUAAUUUACUCGUUCAGUUUCACCAUUGUAAGCUCCUGACUAUUGAUGUUUCAGGUUCUACUGUUGAUGGCUUCAGCUAUAAGCAUGGACAUAGCUGAUGGCUUAGAGAAUAAGCCUCGAGCAAGGCAUAUGCAUCUUGCUGAGAUAACUGAAAUGAUUCAUGUACGCAUCUUAGGCGUCUUGUUUCAUUCCACUUUCCGAAACAUUCAGAAAUAUUUGUUUUAGUGACUUGUCUUCUCCCUUGCAUCUUAGAUAUCGAGCCUUAUUCAUGAUGACGUUUUGGACGAUGCUGAUACUAGGCGUGGCAUGGACUCAUUGAACUUCAAAGUGGGGAAGAAAGUAAUAUCAUAUACUUUUUCUACAAUGGCUAAAUUGAUAUUUAGGGCCAAAUAGUUCAGUAAUCAUUCUUAUCAUAAAAUUUUAAUGGAAAAGGAAAUUCAAGGGAUCUUAAUUUAAAGUUGUAUUCUUAAAUAUGGACAUAUAAACAUGUGGACAUCAAUUAGUUGCUGUUCAGUAGCUCAAUUAAAGUAUUUUGGUUUAGCCUUUUUUUUUUCCGUAGUUCUUAGAGACCAAAAUAUAAACAAUUUCUUAUUUAAUGUGCAAGUAAGCCCAUUUUUCUGUUUGAUACCUCUGAAAAUGAAUAAUGAUAAUAGUUGUAUCUGUUUAUUUUCCACAUCUUCUCAUCUCAUAAGUAUGGACCAUGUUCUUCUAAAAGAAAUAAAAGGAAGCAACGCCAAGCCAUGCUGUAAACUUGGCAAAAUGCAAGUCAAACUAUAUCUUGAGUCAUAUUCACAAUACCUUAUAACAGUUAGUAAAGCUGAUGCUACCCUGCAGCUUGCAGUAUUGGCUGGCGAUUUCCUACUUUUCAGGGCAUUUUCUGCAGCUGUGUCUCUUGACAAUACUGAGGUGCGAUGUUUCUCCUUUGUAAAGGCUAACAAGUUAUAUUAUUUUCCUUCAUCUUUGUUUGACUUUGUUGGGAAUAUUGCUAUCGAGGAUAAAAUAGACCAUGAGUGGGGGCUAAAAAAAUACAACUGAAAGAACAAAAUCACUUUAGUUUUUAGCAUGUGAGCUGCCAUGUCACUCUGCAUCUUCGCCCAUUUCUUUCAACAUCAGAUUAUGGCAGUUCCUUUCCAGUCGGUAUCUUUUGCAUGUUCAUAACGUCAAGAUACCGGAAUUAUUUUUAAUUCUGCAGGUUGUAUCAUUACUAGCAACUGCUGUAAAUAAUCUUGUUACUGGUGAGCUUAUGCAGAUGUCAAUAACUCCAGCACAGCGCUGCAGGUACAUAUCCAAUUCAUUUUAUCAUUUUCUUGCAUCAAGCUAUUGUCUAGUGCUUGAGAUUUUACUAAUGAAAGAUAGCACCCAUAAACUUUGAUAAGUUUGAGAUAUGAUGUGGUGUCAGUGUGGAGGUAGCAGAUUAGUGCCUUAGAAUGUGUUGUUAUGCUCAGUUGAUUCUUUAACUCUUCAUUAUUUGGGCUGUCAUAUGUGUGCAAGUAGCUGUUUAGCUUAGAGUGGAUAUGUACUGACGUUACUUUUCAUCAACUAUCAUCAAAUCAAAGUCCAGGAAAAAUGUUCACUACUUAAUAUAAUGCCAAUCACAAUUAGAUAGAUCAUUGGUGCUAAUCUAUCUACUAAAAACUUGGAUAACCUUGUUCUGGAUCGAGCAGAUUCAAGAAAAGAAAGGAAUGCUAGAUGAGUUCAUCAAGCCAUGACAAUCAACACUUUCUAAUAUUUUACUUAAUGUGACACCUGUUCAUGGAUGCUUGUACAGCAUGGACUAUUAUUUGCAGAAGACAUACUACAAGACAGCUGCAUUGAUUUCAAACAGCUGCAAAGCUAUUGCUGUCCUUGCUGAGCAAACAACAGAAGUACAAGCUCUUGCUUAUCAGUAUGGCAGACACUUGGUGUGUUGUAUUUUUCCUUACACAGAAGCUGUUCCUAUUUUUGCUAGACACAUGAACUGUUAAGAUGACCUACACUCUCUCUUCCAGGGCAUAGCAUAUCAGUUGAUCGAUGACAUCCUUGAUUUCACAGGCACAUCAGCUUCACUAGGCAAAGCCUCCUUGUCUGAUAUCCAUCAAUUAAUACAGUUAUUCACUCAAUAUUUCCUCAGUAGUAUUUUACUUUUUAAGAUAUCAAUGACAUGUAAGGAAUCAUAUAUGCCCUGUAUGGACAGGGAAUUGUGACAGCUCCCAUACUUUUUGCGAUGGAAGAAUUCCCUGAACUGCAUGACAUUGUUGAACAGGGAUUUGAUGACCCUUUAAAUGUUAAGACGGUUUGUAUUGCAAGUGUAUUUUUUUAAAAAGGAAAGUGUACUUUUCUUUGUUUCCAUUAAUAUAAUCCAACUAUUUGGGUUGUGAAAUGCUCAUAAAUUGUCUAGUGUGGUCUCAGAACUGCUCAAUUUUACACUUGUAGGCCCUCAAAUACCUUUCAAAAAGUCAGGGAAUCGAGAGGACGAGGUUUCUUGCUGCUGAACAUGCAAAACUGGCAGCGGGCGCUAUCGAUGAUCUUCCUGAUAGUGAGGAUCAAGUGUUGCUUAACUCGAGGCAAGCGCUCAAAGAUCUUACUCAAAAGUUCAUGAGAAGAACAAAGUGAAUUGGUGAAGCAGAAAAUGUAGUAUUGGUUAAACAUGCCAGCAGGCAGUAGAAUCCAUAAUGAUGCAUCAUUUCUUUUAAAAAUGUAACAAUGCAUCAUGCAUGUUUUUGUUGCUGAACAGUUUAUUAUUGGUCACUGAUGAGAACUUCAGCAGGUUUGGAACAAGAGCUUUACCUCUGUUUUCCCUCCAUUUAUACCAUUCAUCUAUUUCUGCAGAUUGCAUGAUGACAGGCAUAACCGCAUAAUGCCAGAGUAGAAGUUGGAUGCAAAAAAGUUGCCUUAUGAGUAUGUAUUAUGUAGAUAGCAAAACAACAUAUCUCUGAAUAAUUGGAGUAAAACAUUAAUAGAUCUUCAAAGAAACACACACUGCGAUCUUCUCAUAUGAUAAUCAUUCUCUUUAAUUACAUGGGCCACAUCAUAUAUUAAGAUAAUCUAACAAUGUACUCUAGACCCUGAUGUGCAGGUGGAUGCGAUACUGGCACGUCAAUCUUAUGCUUUCAUGUCUUUUUAAAAGUAAAAAGCGCAACACUUGGUUGAGUGCAGUCAAGGACCUGGUAUCUGUUCUGAUCACGGAAUACUGUAAAAUGGUUCUGGAUAUGGAAAUCCUGUGUUUCAGAAAGUUCUAUGUACUUAAUAAGUGCAACUGGUUAUAAUUGUCUUUGAUUCUGUGAAGCUCUCUCAAGGCAUCACCAAUCAGCAAGCGGUCUGUUGGAAGUUCCUUCGAGCACAGAAUUCCGAUAUGCAGAAUUGAAGUAACACAGGCAACUAUAAUUUCUCUGGUGCUACUGGAGCUGCUUGUUCUCCCUUCGAGUUCCGGAUCUUGUACUGGCAGUAACUGUUGGUCUACCACACUGGUGACUUGCUGAUCUUGCAGUGCUAUUUGCACGUACCUAUGAAGGUUGAGGUCUUGCACGAAGUCGCUAUCUGUUGGUCUUUUUCCUGUGAAAAUUUCCAACAAUAGUACUCCGAAGCUGUACAUGUCACCAUAGAUUGAGACUUCGUUACCCAGUCCAUACUCUGUUUGGAACACACAUAUACAGCUACAAUGUUAAAUGAUAGAAAAAGGAGCAAUGCAUUUUACUUGCUUGUGGAUUUCAAUUUUCAAUCAAUCAUGAAAGUAAAAUGCAGUGUACUUGUUAGAACCUAACCUGGAGGAGCAUAUCCAAUGGUUCCCCUUCUUGUAGCCCAACCACUUGAUAUGUCUGAGGGGUUAGUCUGGUCUUGAUGCACAAAUCUUGCGAGCCCAAAAUCACCAACAUGGGCAACCAUGUCAUUGUCAAGGAGAAUAUUGCUUGGCUUGAGAUCACAAUGAACUAUCGGGGUUGGUUUAUAGUGGUGAAGAUAUUCGAGUGCAGAAGCGACAUGAAUGGCAAUGUCUAUCCGUUGGACAAGAUCAAUCCUACUAUGGGUACCAUGUUCCCUGAGACGGUGGUGUAGCCACUGGUCUAGAUUUCCAUUUGGUAGGAAAUCAAAUACAAUAGCUUUGAAAUCAAGGCCACCGGAAUCAAUACUUGAACACACCGUCAAGAUUUUCACAAGGUUCCGAUGUCGAGCACAUCUCAGAGUGUCACAUUCUGCAAUGAAACUUUGUGACGCCCCUCGCUGCUGAAGGUUGAGCACCUUCACAGCGACAACAACUUCUUGGUCAUGGCUUAUCAUUGUUCCCUUGUAAACAGAGCCGAAGCUUCCAAUGCCUAUGAGGUUUUCAGAAGCAAAACUAUUUGUUGCAUUCAUCAAGUUGACAUAUGAAACACUGACAUACUGAUCAUUGAUGAGUGGUAAGGCAUGUUCUGCCUUUAUCAACUUCCUUCUUUGAUGACAUAAUACACAUAGUGCAAGGAUCGAGGAGAUUCCUAGAAAGGCAGUGGCUAUGGAGACUAUCAUGACAAGUUUGUGUGAUCGCUUACUGUUGCUAGUGCUGCCAUUAUCUGAGCAAGAUGGCAAUUUCAGCUGAGCAAUACCUCCACAGAGGCCAGAGUUUCCCUCGACUGAAAACGUGCUGGCAUUAAGAAAUAUUCCUUGCUUUGGGACUUCACCAUCAAAGUUAUUGAAGGAGAUAUUCAGUUCUUCAAGACCUUUCACGUUACCAAAGAAGUCCGGAAUAUGACCAGACAAGUUGUUUCUUGAAAGAUCAAGAACCAAGAGGGCCUUCAGUUGUCCCAAUGACUCUGGAAUUUUCCCUUGAAACAUGUUCCCUUUCAUAAUGCAAUACUGUAAGAUUUGGCAAUCGCCAAGAGAGUUGGGGAUUUCCCCGGUUAACCUAUUUCCAGAUACAUCAAGGGUCAUAAGAUUUUUCAGGUGACCAACUUCCGAUGGCAACGAUCCAGUUAGCAUGUUCUCUCGGAACAUCGCGUAGUAGGAAAGCGUGGGUAUGAGGAGAACUUCUUUUGGUAUUGGACCAGUAAGGCGAUUGUGCUCCAGGGACAGCGCCUGCAAAGGGCAACUACCAAGACUGGAAGGAAUGGGACCCGUGAGCAUGUUGCCAUCAAGGGAUAGUUUGGUGAGCACGGUGAGAUUGCCAAUUGUUGGUGGGAUUUGCCCUGAUAGCUUGUUGCCGAACAAUUGAAGGUUGCUCAGCUUGUUAAGUUUGCCAAUUGAGGUAGGGAUAAUACCAGUAAGGUUAUUGAGAUGCAUAUAAAUGGCGUUCAAGUUGACAAGGUUGCCGAUUUCCUGAGGUAUUUGCCCACUUACCAUGUUGCCCCAUAUGCUCAAGUACUCCAUGCUCGUCGAAAGGUUUGCGAUCGAGCCAGGAAGCACACCUCCCAGCUUGUUUUCAGCCAGGCUAAUUUCCUUCAGAUUGCUGCAGUUGGUCAGACUAUCCAUGAAUCCCCAGUCAGCAUCAACAUUUGCUUCCAGCUGGUUGUCGUCCAGUGUCAGUGCCCGCAAGUUCUUGAGGUGAGUUCCAAGGCAGUCCGGUAUGACUCCGGAGAAGGAAUUCUCCAGCAUCUGUGCCUCCUCCAGCUUGGUGGCGUUGCAGAGCGACGGCGGGAUGGCACCGUGUAGCUGGUUGUUAUCAACGCUGAGCAGCGUGAGUCUGGACAGCCUGCCACUGGCGUUCGGGGGCAGAGUCCCUGUGAGGUUGUUGUUCUGCACGACAAAAUUCUGGAGAGUGGAGAUGUUAAACACGGCGGAAGGUAUGGAUCCUUGGAGCAUGUUGUAGUUGAGGUAGAGGGCAGUGAGAGCUUUGAGGUUGCCAAGAGCGCCAGGGAUGGCGCCGGCAAGGUUAUUGCUUGUGAGGCUGAGGAUGGUGAGGGAGGUGAGGUUGCCAAGGGAGGCAGGGAUUGCUCCAGUGAGGUUGUUGUUGGUGAGGCGGAGGAUGGUGAGGGAGGUGAGGUUGCCAAGGGAGGCAGGGAUUGCUCCAGUGAGGUGGUUGUAGCGGAGACUGAGCUGCUGGAGGCGGUGCAGUGACCCCAGCGCUGGGGGCACCGGCCCCUGCAGCACGUUGUGGCUGAGAUUGAGGCGCUCGAGGGAGGGCGGCAACGGGGAGGGCACGCCGCCGCCGAGGCGGUUCCUGGAGAGGUCGAGUCGUCGGAGGUAGGUGAGGCCCGAGAGGGAUGAAGGAGCCACGGUGCCGGAGCUGGCCAGGCCGAGCCCGCGGAGGUCCAGCGCUGUCACGCGGCCGCGGCGGCGCCCGCGCACCCCGCACGUGACGCCGCGCCACCCGCACGGCGCCGGCGCGGUCAUGUUGCCGCCGCCCCAUGAUGCCAAGGCCCCGUAUGGGUCGUCCGUGAUGAGGGACCGGAACUGCAUGAGCGCACGGUGGUCAGCGCUGGUACCGUCACUUCCCGCGGAGGCCGAUGUCCAUGCUGGAGAUGCAAGGAGGAGGGAGGCCACGAGUAGGAUGGAGCAACGGUGCUCCAUGGCUGUCCGCAUAGCUUGGCUCUGUGCUCCUUGAUGCAGCGAGUAAUAACAAUGCUAUUUAAGAUGCCGAUUCAAUCUCGCUAGUCUCUAAUUUCCAAGUCACCAAGUCAAUGAGGUCUUCUUCCAACUUUGUCCAUAGUGACCAUAUCCACGGGUCAUCCUCCAACAUCCAGUUGGAUGAAAGUUCGGUGACCUUGCUGCGUCGCCAGCCUCCAAAACUUGCCAGCUGCACUGCCGUGACAUUGGUACGGAUUUUCCGAGCAUCCUCCUCGCAAGCUUCUCAGUAAAUUUCGACCUGUAGCAAUUUCGACCUGUGGGGUCACAGUAAAUUUGACCUCGCACUACCGUAGCAGUCCCAACCCACGGUGUCCAUAGUGUCACGUCACAAGGACUGUAGCAAUUUCGACCUGUGGGGUCUCAGUAAAUUUGCGCCGCAUCUUCUCCAACGUUUGCCGCAUCCUGUUCGCUCAGCUUCUUUAUAGGGAGAUGAGGUAUUUAUGUAUGGUUCGAUUGCUCCCCUACCUUAUCUUAACCAUCCUAUCAAUAUACUAUAGCACGGAUCUUAAAUACUGGGAGUUAUGCUAAAAAAAGCUGGUAGAAGUUGUAGGUUUCCGUUAUUUUAGAGGCAUGACGUGACUAUUACAGAGUCCAUGUGAAGAAAACGCCAAGUGGAAGGCUGAAAACAACUGGACCGGCAUCCGUGCAGAGCGUUGCAAAAUUGGGCCGUAGAAGAGGAUCGAACGGGUGCACAAGAACUACAGAUGGGACUGAAAAAAUCAAUUCACGCCUCUAAAAAAAAGAAAAGACAAAAGAAAAAAUGAUUCACGCACAUAGCAGAAUUUUACUUGAGUGAUAGUUAGGAAUUCCGUUUCUUACUUUCUUGCAUUAAGCUAUUCUAUAGUGCUGGACUUUUUAUACGUACUAAUGUAAAGAUACUAUACUCAUAAUAAACUUGAAUAAGUUUGAGGUAUGAUGUGGGGUGUCGGUGUGGAGGUAUCAGAUUAGUGCCUUACAAUAUGCUGUUACGUUCUGUUGAUUCUUUAACUAUUCAUCAUUUCAGCUGUAAAAUGGAGUAAGACAGUUCGUAUUGAAAGUGUACUUUUCUUUGUUUCCAGUAACAUGCUCCAAAAAUUUAGGUUUAACUUGUCUAGUGUGGUCUCAGAACUGCUCCAAACUACACAUGUAAAUAGUCAGCCUCACCCCCAGGAAACAGAGCACUGCUUUGGGCCGAACUACACACUAGAACAGCAAAUACAAUGUUGCUGCACUUUAUAACUGAGUGCUGGCCGUUAAGCCACACCUGAAGUGCUCCAAACUACACAUGUAUCAUACAUAAACCAGAUUUACAAACUGCAAACUUCAAGACUACGGCAGCGACUUACGACUUCCGCAAACCCCUCAUUGUUCAGUAUAGGACUUGAGAUGAAUUGAUCAGAGACUACCAGUAAUGGAUGCAAGUAAAAAAAGAUUUGGUGUCAUCACAUGUCACAUUUUCAGAUCUGAAGUCAAAAUCCGAUCUUCGUCAAACUUCGGUGAGAUUUUCCAGCGAAACUGUGGACUUCCGACGAAAACCGACACCCGAUGGAGUUCCUCUCUUCGAGCUCUACGCCGUGGUGCAGUGGAUUGCGCGAAUCCGAUACCGGCUCCGUCGUCUUCCCCAACUCCGGCGAGCUUUUCCGCCGCCAUUGCUCAUCAUCGGUCGAAGGUGAGCACACCAUCUCAUUCGUCUCAUCGUCCUUGUUCCGUUUUGCUCGUUCAAUCGCGAGUUUAGGAGUCAUUCUCGGCAAAUCCCUCUUUUUUUUUCCCUUUGUUUCCCUGUCUGUUCCUGUUCAUCUGGCCAUGGCCACGGCGCCGUGCAGCCUCGCCGCCUCCUGGGCACCCGCGCCGGGCCACCACCUCCUGCCCCAGCCUGCGCCGCCAACACCGCCGCCGGUGCGCCGCCUUGCGCUACCCCUGCACCACCACCGUUGCCCGUUCGCUCACGCCACCGCCAGUCACCGCCCGCGCCUUGCGCGCCGCUCAACGCACCGCGACACGAGCCGCCACGCACCGCCACCAGAGCUGCACCGCCACCGCCGCGCCUUUGGCCCAGCCCCGGCCGCCGCCGCGGGCAAGCCGGCCGCCCAGAGCAACCGACGCCAUCCAGUCAACCAGCGGAUGGAGGUUGAAGAUGAGAUGGCGAAUUUGCGUCAAAGCCCCUAGAAGAUCCUGUAAUAUUUAGUUUAUCUCCUAUGUCUUGCAACUUUCUCGAAAACCCCCCUGAAUCUUUCGGUUUCCUUGCAAUCUAAUCCAUGUCGUGACUUUUGCAGAUCUAACCCUUAGCUUUAUCCUUUUUGGAGUAGUAUUUCUUGUGUCUUGCAGACCUUUUCUGCUAGUCCUCCCAAUCUAUGGUUACUUACGUUUAGGUUCUUGCAAUCUUGUUUAUCUCAUAGAAUCUAUGUUUUAGCUCCUUUUUAGUCCGUUCAAAUUGCGUUAGGUUCGUGAUGACAUAAAUUACACAUUAGUGGUAAUGUUUUUCUUCUAGCAUAUUGUUGAAAAUAAAGUUAAUAUUAAUUUGAUUAAUACCUGUUAAACAUGUCCUCCUUUGAAUAAAAGGUAUUUAGUGCUAUACACCGUUGUUCAUAAUGGAUGUUAACUAGAUUAAUGCUUACUUCAUAGGCUUUCCUAAAUAAAAGCUAAUAGAGCUACACCUCGCCUUUGCAUGAACUAAAUGUUAAUUUACUUAAUGUUCAAUACUGAAUCAACCUUCCUAAAUAAAAGUUGAUUAGGAUUCUACCCCAGCUUUGAUAAAUAAAUAUUAACUUGAUAAAUAUCAACAUAUGAAUAUGUUUUCAAUAGCAAUUUGACCCACCUAAAUAAUAAAGUAUAUGUGUAGAUGUUUCACAUAGUUUAGACUUUCUAAAGUCAGAUGUUAAAUGGCAUAAUCUAUACUUCAAUAUUUCUAAUUAAAAUAUGAUUAAGUUAUAACUCAGUUUUUCUUCCUUAUUGAUAAAAUAACUGAUGAUAAUAUGAAUGUGUUUUCUAAAUGAAGUUUGUUUAGCUCAACACGAUAUAUAUAUUUAUUCUGUUUUCAUCUUUAUACAGUUAAGUGUGUAAUUGGUCUAAUUUAUACAUGAACAUUUAUAAAUAAAACUUGACUAGGAUUUAUCUCGGUCUUUGCAAAUAAAAUAUAAUUUGCAUUAGUUCCAACUUGGGGUAUUUUCUUUCUGAAAUAUCCUUUACACAUGCUUUGCUAAUUAAAAUAAACUUAGCUUAUAGACCUUUGUGCUUUCAUAAAUGCAAAUCGUUCGAUAGCCGUUCUUUGCCAGCUUUACCCCAGAAUCUCUUUUAUAAUGCUUUGGAUCUUUCCAGUUCUAAUUCAAGCUCAGAUCCAGUUGUUCUAUAAAUCUAACCAAGCUUUUCCUUUUCAAGCAUAGUUUGUGUGCCUUAGUGAUCCAAAUAGUUUAUCUUAGAGUUUCUAUUCUGCCUGGUAGUUCUGUGUCUUACUGAGUAAUUUUAUGCUGCUCAAUUUCUUUGUCUAAUUAAUCCUAUCAUGCUUGUUCGAUAUUUUCCCUGAGAAUCUUGUCUCAUAGGUCUUUCAGCUAUCUCUUUAGACAAAUCUUGCUAGUUCCGUUCUCAGCGUUUCCUAUAUUCGCGUAGUCCUAGAAUUGACCCCUAUCCUCUAGUACGCUCUUUUAAAGCUUUUCUUUUGUUUUGAUGUAUUGUUCUUAGUUGUACUUGUUUGCUGUUUUGUAUGUUUGUGCCGAUGUUUGAUGUUUACUUCGAGUAGAAGGAUCGCUGUUCGGAAGAUUGGAAGAGUAAAAGUUUCAAGAGAGCAAGAACCAAAGAGCAGUAAGAGUAACUUUUUGUUAGAGAAAGGCAAUUGUGUCCUUGUACUUUUAUCCCAAUAACUUUAUUAGUCACUAUUGCAUAUGCUUGCAUUUAAUUUGAUGGGUCCUAUUAAGAUUUGCCUAGUUUCAUAUGAUCAUUCCAUGUCAACCUGGGUUUAUCUUUCUGUUGGGUAGCUAUGCUUAGCUGCUAUACUUGGGAUAUGGUUGUUCUAAUGAAAUCAAUGAUUAAACCUAUUUUUAUUUAUGUUAUACAUUUCUUUAAUACAAGAUCACUGUGUUUAAUCAGAACAUGGAGUGACCACUCAGGAAAACAGUGCUACCACAAGACUAAAUGGCUCUAGUUUUGACUAAAUAAUUAGAAACUCUAGUAUGGGAUAAUCUUACCGAAAGGGAAAGAGGGGAGGCGUUGAUGGGAUAUAGCACUCGCUCUCUUGGGAAGUGGACUUUUCUAAGACACUAUACUCACUAGGGGACUGUUAUGCUUUGCUUCGGCCUGAAACCUUAGCGGGUUACCACUUACUAGCGAAUAUUUGUAAAGGCCUUGUAGCAUCCCUAUGCAAUCACACCUCGGAAGUGUGGUAUGAUGCCUUGCAAAAACCGCAUGGUCGGGUCCAAAGUUCUUUUGAACUUUUACGCGACUUGUGGGUAAAGAUGUGCGACCUCUGCAGAGUGUAAAACUGAUCGAUCAGCCGUGCUCACAGUCAAGAGCGGUCUGGACACUCACAUGAUAAUUGAACUUGAAGAUGGACUUAAACUGUGGUUUAUGAUAUGUCUAUGUUUCUACCAUAUGCUUAUGGCUUAUGGUUAUUAAUUGUGGGUUGGUAUAUACUUGUACCUUAGUAAACGGGUGCUAAUAAAAUUUUACCAACUAAAAAUGUUUAAUGCAGUCAAUCAGUCAGCCUUUCCUUGAUUAAGCCUUGCAUUCAUAUCUUUCCCACACUUGCUGAGUACGACAUGUGCUCACCCUUGCUAUAAUCAACGUUGCUCAGAAGAAGAAGCUGCUAUGAAGUUGUUGUGAAGAUGAUGCUGAGUUCUAGGCGUACGCAAUCCUAGUCGACUGCCCGUGAGUUUGGAGCCUCCGUUUUCAGGGUUUAAGCUGUGUGUCUCUGAUAGUCUCGUAAGUCUUUAUUUGUAUCUUUUUACGUGAUACUAUUGCUGUUAUUCACUAAUGCUGUCACUGUAUGUAUGAAACUAGAUCCUGACAAACAUAUAGGUAGCACUUGGUUUUGUUUUAAAAUCAGGUGUGACAUCCAGUCUCCAUGGUAGAGGUCAAACCUCAGCUUCCCAAAGACCCUGAAGCAUAAGCCCAACGUCAUUGCCUUCAUUCUUUCCAGAUACACGACGACCAGAGCAGAGGACAGUAGGCCAUUGUCCAGGCAACCAGACAUGUUUAAUCUUGGUGCAGAUGAUUAUAGCAUUCAGAGGUCGUAACCCAACAUUGUAGCAUUCAGAGGUGAAAUGAUCGCAGAUAAUUAUGGAUGUAAGUAAAAAUCUUGGUGUCACCAGUCAUCACAGGUCACAUUGCGCUACUUGGGGCGCAUAAACAGAGUUACAGAGGGAACCAGUAGUCUUCCCAGCAGUUGUGAUCAUAGGCAUCAUCAUCCCUUGCCGCCUCUCCACGAAGAGGUUGAACAUCAGCUUCGCAGAGAUCAUGCAGCAUAAGCCCAUUAUUUUUGCCUUCGUUCUCUCCAGUCACACGAUGAUCAGGGCAGAGAGCAAUAGGCCAUUGUCCAGGCAACCAAACAUGUUUAAUCUUGGUGCAGCGAGCACGGAGUUCAUUGCUAACGUUGUAACAUUCGGAGAUGUCAAAGAACUUGAGACGAGGGCAGCCCUUCAGGAUAGCAUAGACGCCUUUGUCGGUCAGGCGGUUGCCUCCCAUCUGGAGAAGCCGCAGCUCGUGCAUGGUUUCUGCAAUGGUGAAGGCGUAUGCAUGCUGAGAUAACUGAAAUGAUUCAUGUACGCAUCUUAGGCAUCUUGUUUCAUUCCACUUUCCGAAACAUUCAGAAAUAUUUGUUUUAGUGACUUGUCUUCUCCCUUACAUCUUAGAUAUCGAGCCUUAUUCAUGAUGACGUUUUGGACGAUGCUGAUACUAGGCGUGCCAUGGACUCAUUGAACUUCAAAGUGGGGAAGAAAGUAAUAUCAUAUACUUUUUCUACAAUGGCUAACUUGUAUAUUUAGGGCCAAAUAGUUUAAUAUGGCAGUUAUUUCAGUGGAAGGUAAUGGUGAAGAACUAGAACUGUCGCUCAGGCCCUCUCUAAUAGGCGGUGGGUCACUGGUAUCAGGGGAGGACUCAUUGUGGAAGUCCUGACGGAGUACCUAUUAUUAUGGGACCAAUUGGAUGGUGUCCAGCUGCAACAAGAUACCCCUGACCAAUACAUUUGGAAGCUGACCCAAUCUGGUUUAUACUCCAGUAAGUCUGCAUAUGAGGCCUUUUUUGUGGGAUCUAUUAAGUUUAUUCCUUGGAAAAUAAUAUAGAGAAGUUGGCCCCAUACGCUGUAAAUUUUUCAUUUGGUUGGCUAUUAAACAAUGACUUUGGAUUGCUGACAGACGGGCCAGUAGAGGCUUACAACAUCCUUGAGCCUGCUUGCUUGCUCAUCCUGCGUUGUUCGAGAAAAAAAUCAUAAAUUUUUAAUGGAAAAGGAAACUCAAGGGAUCUUAAUUUAAAGUUGUAUUCUUAAAUAUGGACAUAUAAACAUGUGGAGCCCUUUUUUUCCGUAGUUCUUAGAGACCAAAAUAUAAAAAAUUUCUUAUUUAAUGUGCAAGUAAGCCCAUUUUUCUGUUUGAUACCUCUGAAAAUGAAUAAUGAUAAUAGUUGUAUCUGUUUAUUUUCCACAUCUUCUCAUCUCAUAAGUAUGGACCAUGUUCUUCUAAAAGAAAUAAAAGGAAGCAACGCCAAGCCAUGCUGUAAACUUGGCAAAAUGCAAGUCAAACUAUAUCUUGAGUCAUAUUCACAAUACCUUAUAACAGUUAGUAAAGCUGAUGCUACCCUGCAGCUUGCAGUAUUGGCUGGCGAUUUCCUACUUUUCAGGGCAUUUUCUGCAGCUGUGUCUCUUGACAAUACUGAGGUGCGAUGUUUCUCCUUUGUAAAGGCUAACAAGUUAUAUUAUUUUCCUUCAUCUUUGUUUGACUUUGUUGGGAAUAUUGCUAUCGAGGAUAAAAUAGACUAUGAGUGGGGGCUAAAAAAAUACAACUGAAAGAACAAAAUCACUUUAGUUUUUAGCAUGUGAGCUGCCAUGUCACUCUGCAUCUUCGCCCAUUUCUUUCAACAUCAGAUUAUGUCAGUUCCUUUCCAGUCUGUAUCUUUUGCAUGUUCAUAACGUCAAGAUACCGAAAUUAUUUUUAAUUCUGCAGGUUGUAUCAUUACUAGCAACUGCUGUAAAUAAUCUUGUUACUGGUGAGCUUAUGCAGAUGUCAAUAACUCCAGCACAGCGCUGCAGGUACAUAUCCUAUUCAUUUUAUCAUUUUCUUGCAUCAAGCUGUUGCACCCAUAAACUUCGAUAAGUUUGAGAUAUGAUGUGGGGUCAGUGUGGAGGUAGCAGAUUAGUGCCUUAGAAUGUGUUGUUAUGCUCAGUUCAUUCUUUAACUCUUCAUUAUUUGGCCUGUCAUAUGUGUGCAAGUAGCUGUUUAGCUUAGAGUGGAUAUGUACUGACGUUACUUUUCAUCAACUAUCAUCAAAUCAAAGUCCAUGAAAAGUAUUCACUACUUAAUAUAAUGCCAAUCACAAUUAAAUAGAUCAUUGGUGCUAAUCUAUCUACUAAAAACUUGGAUAACCUUGUUCUGGAUUGAGCAGAUCCAAGAACCAUGUCCACCCCGACGACGAUGACGACCACAAGAGCCGUGUGGUCCCCUCCGUCCACGACACCAUGCUGCUCCAUGAGGUCGCCGCUAUCCUAAACCUACACGCCCAGGCUGUUGCGGUCCAAAACAUCCGCAACCUCAUCUUGAUCGUCCUCGACGUCAGCUCCACCAACUAUGCUUGCUGGCACGAGCAGUUCUUGCUCAUGGUCGGAAAGUUCUCCCUCGACGCCCACAUCUUUCAGGACCGUCCACUCCCUGGUCAUCCAGAUUCGGCGCGAAUGGAUUGCGUCAUCCGGUCUUGGAUCUACGGCACCCUCUCCAACGACCUCGCCAACACCGUGAUGGUGCUCGGCACCACCGCCCGCUCCGUCUGGCUUGCCGUUGAAUCCCAGUUUCACGACAACCAUGAGACUCGCGCUCUCCUCCUCGCCACCCAGUUUCGCACCUUCGUUCAAGGCGACCUGUCCAUCACCAACUACUGCAAGCGCCUGAAGGCCAUGGCGGAUGCCCUCGGCGAGCUCAGCGAGCUCGUCAUCGACCAGUCCCUCUUCCUUAACGUCAUCCGCGGCCUCAACACCAAGUAUACCGCCAUCGGUCUCCAUCUUCGUUGCGGUCGCCCGUUCUCGACGUUCCUGGAGGGCUGCAAGGACCUGCUGCUCGAGGAGCUCACCUCCACGCAGCCGUCCUCGGAGCACACCACCGCUCUCCUCGCUGCUGGCUCAGGCACCCCCACGCAUUCGGCCCGGCCGCCCCAGCCCCAACAGCAGCAUCGCUCCGGGAGCGGCUCCUUCAAGCCUCGUCGCAGCAAGCGCAACUUCGGCCGCCGCACCUCCAAGGACGGCAACUCCUGCAGCGGCGGUGGCGCCGGCCAGUGCCCCCCCCUUCCGCAGUGGCGCCAAGCAGGGCGCCUCCCAGGGCUCCUCCGAUGUCGCCCCCUGGCCCUCCUUCUAGAACCCGUGGACUGGGGCCAUCCAGAUGUGGCCCGGUGCGCGCGUUCAGCAGGCUGGGGCGCACCCUCAUGCCAUGUUGGCCCCGUACUCCACGCAUGCUAGCAGAUGCAGCUCCAUGUGUUCCAAGCGGCCCAGUUCGAGGCCACCCAGCUGCAGGCCACCCAGUUGCAGGCUGCCCAGGCGCAGGCCUAGACAUACCAGGCUGCCCUAGCACAAGCCCUCCAGCAAGCGCCGUGUGGCGGAACCGUCCAACUUAAACUGGUUUAAAUGCGCCUAAUUGCUGCCGACGCAGCAAUUAUCCGAAAUGCACUUAAAACAGUGUAAGUCCGGUCGUCCGUCGAGUGUCCCUAGGACUCCUCGAAAGAUCCACGUUGUGUUUCAUAGCCAUACAUCAGGAUAGUAUCCGCGAUGGGAUAGCAUCAACAAAUAUUACAUUAUUACAUACAUAUAAAAGGUACGAGUUAUUACAGAACAUAGAUUGAAGCAAACUUAACAGUGCAGUGUUAGACAGAGUUCUAAGAUUUAAAACAUAAACGGUUCGGGAGGAGAUGAGCAUUUAAAAACUUCUUCUUAUGGGUAUUGUGAGACUCAUAACAAUACCCUAAGGCUUCGGGGCUUCCUCCUCUGUAGACUCCUGUGGUGCUUCUGAAAGAAAGCCACAAGGGAUAACCCUGAGUACGGGGUACUCAGCAAGUCUUACCCGACUAACCAAUAUAAUAGCUUUUCUUUGGAAGUAUAUGAUAGCUUUUGGUGUGCUUGGCUGUUAUAUUUUUGCCGAAAAAGCUUACUACAAGUAAUGCCUUAGUUUUAUCUUUUAUUUGGGUUAAGUCAUUACCUAACCAUUCUAAAUGAUGAGAAGAAAAUGAACGCAACAAUAUAUAUUAAGUCAUACAUCAAACAUUAUCAGAAAUAUAUAUCAUUCAUGAAUUUAUACUACGAUGCUCAACAGUGAUCAAGUGCAUUCAUAACCGAGAAUUGCGGCGAUCCGGAUCAAUUUACAUCCUGCAGGAGAGUACCCUGAUCACCAGUUUUAUACGACUGUCCAGGUCGUACAUAACGACUUUUCGAUUAGUAAAGUCAAUGAUUGGGAAUAAGACUACCCGGACCCAGGGACGCACCCCCACAUGGGACCCCACGUCUGGCCCGAUCACCAUGUGAGUUUCAGGCUACGCCCCUGCCAAUCUCCAGCACGUCAAGCGCGAGUACGAAGUAUUCCCGAUCAGAGAGUUUACUAACCUACUGGGCUUUACUGGUCCCAUACCCAGUAAGUGAUCAGAUGCUUAUCACUUGAUCAAAGGUUAAGACAACGAAUCGGGCCUUAACCAAUUAAUCUAGCAGACAGAACUACAUCUCUAGUUUUUAUCCGCUUCCCAAUUUCCAAGUCAUCUUCUCAUAAAUAACAUGUAUGACUCAAAAGUUUUCCUUAAGGUUGGUAAACCAAGCAUUUAAGCAACUAAGCAAUUCUAGACUUGGGUUAUCUUCUAAGGUUUGAACAAGUGGCAAAGAUGUCCUUAAAACAAGGUAUGAACAUGCACAAGAUUAGGUUUCAAGCAACUCCUAGACUUAGUGCAUACAUAUCACAAAUAACUGAAUAAAGGACACAUGAAAUAUUGACUUCAAAAUAAUAGGUGUAAUGCACCGGGGCUUGCCUUGUUCGCUUAAAAAGUUAGUAUUGUCCGAUGGGUUGACCUCGCAGGGGACCAAUUCAAAGACUUCUUCGAACUCCGAAGAUCCUUCUGAAAAUUCCAAGUAAUCUCCUUCUGGUGCUUCGGGGUCUAUAGCACAACACAUGCAGGGGUUAGGAAUGCAAAAUUUUGAAUAAAAAACUAUAUAACUUUCCUUCAUGAUAAAGUUGCAAGCCAACAAGGACUAUACAGCUUAUCAUGAUAAAGUUGCAAGCCAACACACAAAACCCAAAAAGAUUAGCCCACAAUUUUUAUUUCUUACCUAACCUUACUUAAGGCUUUUCUUUUAUUUUUAGAAAAGGUUAUAAUUAUUUUCUAACUUGAAAAUCUAAUUUCCUAUGAGUUAAGAAUAAUUUGUGAUUAAGAAAAUGUUAUUCCAUAUUUUAUACAUUUUAUAAGGAUUAAGUAUUUAUUUAAUUACCUUAAAAGAAAGGCAUUAAAUAAAUACCCAAAAAAAUUUAUUAUUUUUCUAGGGUGUAAAAAUUUUAAUGCAUAAAGGAAAAUAAAACAAGCCUAACAAAAUUGGUUUCACUAAUUUUGGACACUCCUAGAAAUUUCUGUGAUUUAAAUGGUGAAAUUCGGAUUUAAACUAAUUACUUUCUAAAGGAAAUCUAAAUUUUCCCGAAAACACCCCCAGGCAACUUUUCUCAUGCGGCUCGACCCUACCCUCUCUCACUUGCACUGGGCCCGCGGCGCGGACCCACUCCUUCUCCUAUUCCUCUUACCCGCCGGCCUUUUUCUCCUCCUGAUGGGCCCCUUAGGCCGUUUUCUUUUUCUUUUUCCUUUCCCCGGUCCGUUACCGGCCCAACAGCCCCUUUUUCCUUUUUCUCUUUUCCCGCGGCGCGGCCUGCCUUUCCUUCCGGGCCUCCGGCCCCUUCUCCUCCACGGUCGACCGCGCGCGCGCUCCUGGGCCUUUAAGGCCGCGGCCCAACUGGCCUCCGCGUCCUACCGGCCGACCCCUUCUCCCUCUCUUCCCCACUGACGCGCGGGCCCAAGGCUCCAGCGCCUUCCUCUUCCUCCCGCCAAAACGUGCACGACAGGGGGCGGCGCGACUCACCGGCCGGCGCCCUACCGGCGGCGGGACUAGGUCAGGACAGCACCUCUGUGCCUUCACGCACCCGUGCGCGGCAACAGCUCCUCGGGAGAUGGCCGGAGCCAUUCCCUCCACGGCGGCAGGCGGCGGCACCUACGGCCAGUCGCCGCUAUUCACGACGACGGCACAAACCACCCCAACGACUACCACGACACCAUCCUAGCAUCCUAAGGACCUGCCUAAGACCACCCAAGAAGGAAGAGAACAAGCGCAAGGGGGUGCUCACCGUGAGCGGGAGGCGCGGCGACGGCGGACAGAAACGGCGGCGGUCUAUGGCGUGCCGGCGAAGAAGCUGGGCAACAAGCCGCUAGGGUUGCUGGUGGGGUGUGGGCGGAGGUGUGGACGGAAGGAAUCGAUGGGAGGUAUGGUGUGGUGGGAGUAUUUUGCUCGGCGGCGGCAGCUCGGACAGAGGAAGCGGCGGCGGUAAAAAGACGGCGGUAGAAACGGCGGCGCGGGAGCGGUAAAUAUACGAACGGUUUACCGCGCGCAUGGGCAACACCGUGGCCUACUCGUAGGCUUGCGUGGUGAUGAGGUGGCGUAGCCGCUGUGCUGGUGAGCGACCGAGAGCGGCGGCGGCGACACGUCCUGCCUGCUCUGCUGCUCUUCCCCUUCCUAAUCUCCGGCGCCCGAAAAUUCAGAGCUUCCCCACGGUUGAUUUCCAAUCCGACGGUGCAUAUGUGUCUUAACCAAAGUUGUAGAUAAUCUCGAGCUUUCCAAUUCAUCUAUAAACCUUUGCCCAAGAUAAACAUCCAAAAGUCUUCAAAUUUGAAUUUUUCUCGGGCAAAUGACUGAACCCUUUUACCCUUCCAUUCAGUUUCGUCAGUCAUUCGAUGUGAUCAUUUGCCCGACUUAGUGAUUCAUUUCGGUGGUCCAAAUCCUCUUUCUGUAGUCCAACUUCUUCCCAAUUAUGUUCUACAACAUCCAGGGAUUCCAUUUUGCCCAUAAUCACUUAUACCCCUUGCACUAGAUUGUGUUGAAUUUUGCUCUAAACUUGCUUACAUGCUACUGUUUCAGACUUAGUCAUUUCAGCAGGACAGUCAACCCGUGACCAUGUGCUGACUUUGAGCUCAAAUUCGAAAUUGUUCCCUUCCCUGUUCCUGGCCAACAACACCCAAAUCUAGUAGUCCAAAGUCCACACUUUAACAUGGUAUAGUUGUCCUGAUCCACUUACUUGAAAAAUUCAUCAGAAUUUAAUUUUGAAAAUGGACUCUGCUGCUGUUUUUCUGAAUUCCUGUUUUCGGACGAUGAACAGUAAGUUCAGUUUUCCAUUUUCUUUCUUUGAUUCUUUUGAGAUAUUUUGGAUCAGUUCUGUUCCAAAUUCUUGAUCCUUAAGUUCUAGUCACUCUUAAACUUUUAUUCCAUAUUUUUGCCGAAUUUUUCUGAAUUUCAAAUUCAAAAUUCAAAUUUCGGCCAAAUUUGACCCGAAUUUGAUUUUUGGCCUAUUUCUUUUUCUUUUCUUCUCGAAUUACUUCUAAUUCUUCAAAGUCACUUUGAUGAUCAAAAUGGCAGGUGUUACACGCCGUACCAGCCCUCUGUCCACUUGAGCACCACCGCCAGCACACUGUUGUGGGAUUAGCAGUCCCUCGCCUCCACCUUCAUCACUAUGAUGCUGAACCAGCCGCAGCAGCAUGAGUGGUACUUCGACUAAGGUGCUACCUCCCAUAUGACCUCUGAUGCUCAUUCUCUUUUGCACAAUUUCACCCAGUGGUACCCUUUUCCUUCAGCUAUUGUUGUCGAUGACGGUUCUUUACUCCCUAUCACUUCUACUGGCACAACGAUUCUUCUCGGUUCUUUGCAUCUUAAUAAUGUCCUUGUUUCCCACAAGCUUAUUAAGAAUCUUAUUUUCGUGCGCCAGUUUACUACCGAUAAUAACUGCUGAAUUUGACCCGUCUGGUUGUUCUGUGAAGGAUCUUCGAUCCAGGAACGUGAUCGUCGGGUGCAAUAGUUCGGGUCCACUAUACCCCUUGCACCUCCCUGCUGCUGCUCUCACUGUUGGCACCACCUCUACAGCCUGGCAUCACCGUCUCGGCCAUCCCGGGAUGGAAUCCCUUUCCCGUCUUGCGCACAUUUUACCAUCAUGUAAUAAAGACAUUAGCUCGUCUCUCUGUCAUGUGUGCCAGCUCGGACGACACACCCAUCUUCCCUUUCAGGUGUCCUCCUCUCGAGCCUCCAGGAAUUUUGAUCUUUGGACGUCACCUAUUCCUAGCAUCUCGGGUUUUAAAUACUACUUGAUUAUUCUUGAUGAUUGCUCCCAUUUUUCUUGAGUUUCCCCUGCGAUUGAAAUUUGACACGUUUGAUACCCUUGCUAACUUCUUUUCCUAUGUGACUAUACACUUUGGCGCCACCAUUAAGGCCGUCCAGUGCGACAACAAUCAUGAGUUUCACAACUCCAGCGCCCGCACGUUCUUCCUCUCCCAUGGCGUCCACUUCCGCAUGUCAUGCCCAUACAUGUCGCCGCAAAAUGGUCGAGCUGAGCAGAUCAUUUGCACUAUGAACAACAUCCUCCACUCCCUCCUCUUCCAAGCAAGGCUUCCCCCUCACUAUUGGGUCAAAGCUCUCCACGCCGUGACAUAUCUGCUCAACAUGCUACCUACCAAGACCCUUGCUUUCCGCACUCCACAUGAGGUGUUGUACGGCACUGCACCGUCCUAUGAUCACCUCCGCAUCUUUGGUUGUAGAUGUUAUCCCAACAUUUCCACCACAGUCAAUCACAAGUUAGCACCAUGGUCCACCUCGUGUAUUUUUCUUGGAUAUUCCGCUCAUCAUAAAGGGUACCGCUGUUUUGACCUUGGUUCUAACUGAAUCAUCAUCUCCCGACAUGUCACCUUUGAUGAGUCCUCAUUUCUCUACGCUGAGAAUUCCUCUCCACCUUCCCUGGUGGAUUACAGUUUUUUGGAAGUUGCUACUGACCCUGUGCCGGUUCCCAAAAGAACGUUACAACCCGCUUUGCCUGCAGGUCCCACUGGCGCCGUCAGCACCCCCCAUCGUGCCCCCUACGGUGCCCCUCCUGACGCCCACUGGCGCCGUCCCGGUGCCUCUUGGUGUUGCCCCGACGCCCCUGCUAGUGCCUCCCAAUGCUGCCUCGACGCCCCCUAGCGUCGCCCCGGCGCCCUGGCACCCCUACUGGUGCCCUUCCGCGCCCCUGGCACGUCCUCCGCCCCCGCUGGCGCCCUUGGUGCGUCGCCAGAGCCCACCGACACCUCCUAGCGUCACCUCGGCACCCCUGCUAGCGGACCUGGAGUUCCCGCUGGCACCCCUGGCGCGUCCCCUGGAGUUCCCGCUAGUGCCCCUGGAGUGUCGUCGCCUGGUGGGUCCCUAGCACUGGCUUGCCCCCCGGCUCCAUGGGUCCCUCCUAGCUUCAACUCGACGCCACUCCGCUUCAUCUACACGCACCGCUCUGCCACCCCUCAUCUCCCAUCACCGCCGUCAGCCUUUGAUGCCGGCCCCACCACCAGCGCACCAGGCACCGAUCCAAGAGCUCGGGCUCCAGUCCUUCCCAAAGGAGCUGUCGUUGUUCCGCCCGUCAUCAACCAGCAUGGCAUGACCACCCGUGCCAUGCUUGGGUUCCGUCAGCCUAUUCUAUUCCACACUGCGCCAUUGUCUCUGGUUCCAAAGUCCUUCCACAGUGCCCUCAUUGAUCCUAAUUGGCGGGCUACUAUGGAAGAUGAGCAUGCGACGCUUCUCUAGAACAACACAUGGGAGCUUGUGCCUCGUCCGUUGCAUGCUAAUAUUGUCACUGGUAAGUGGAUAUUCAAGCACAAGUUCAAUUCGGAUGGCUCUCUUGAUUGGUAGAAGGCUCGAUGGGUUCUUUGCAGCUUCACUCAGUGGCCAGGGGUGGACUUGGAUGAGACUUUCAGUCCGAUCGUCAAGCCUGCUACUGUCUGGACAGUUCUAUCGCUGGCACUCUCUCGUCACUGGCCUGUUCACCAACUACAUUCAAGAAUGCAUUUCUCGAUGGCACUCUUUCCGAGACUGUGUAUUGUGCUCAGCUUGCUGGUUUUGAGGAUUCUGCUCAUCCAGACUUCGUUUGCCGCCUCAACAAGUCUCUGUACGGCCUGAAGCAAGCUCCUCGCACCUAGCAUAGUUAGUUUGCAGCUUAUUAUCAGUCUGUUGGCUUUGUGGAGGCCAAGUCUGACACCUCGCUGUUUGUGUUUCACCGAGGCACCGAGAUCGCGUAUCUCUUGCUCUAUGUUGAUGGCAUUGUACUCACGGCUUCUUCCCCAAUGUUGCUGUGAUAGAUUCUUCAGGCUUUGCAGCGGGAGUUCUCUAUGAAGGAUCUUGGGCCUCUUCAUCACUUCCUGGGUAUGCAUAUGCAGCCUGUUGUUAGUGGAGGAUUUCUGUUGUCUCAGCGGCAGUACAUGCUUGAUAUCCUGGAUCGUGCUGGCAUGGCUGAGUGUAGGCCGUGCUCCACUCCCAUUGACACCAAUCCCAAGGUGUCGGCUGCUUCAGGUGCCCCUGUCACCAAUGCCUCGGAUUUUCACAGUCUCGCCGGCGCUUUGCAGUAUCUCACUUUCACCAGGCUGGAUAUUGCCUACGCCGUUUAGCAAAUCUGUCUCCACAUGCAUGAUCCGCGAGAGCCUCAUCUUGCUGCCCUGAAGCGCAUCCUCUGGUACAUCCGUGGCACUCUCCAUCUCGGCCUACUACUGCGUCCGUGUUCAGGUCAGGAUUCACUGGUGGUAUACUCUGAUGCUGAAUGGGCAGGCUGUCCAGACACUCGCAAAUCCACUUCCGGCUAUACGGUCUUCCUUGGCGACAACUUGGUUUCUUGGUCCUCCAAGUGAUAGCACACCGUCUCCAAGUCUAGUGCCGAAGCUGAGUAUCGCGUCGUGGCCAAUGCCAUCGCCGAAGCUACCUGGCCGUGCCAGCUUCUUCAGGAGCUCCAUGCCCCACUUCGCUGUGCCUCCUUGGUGUAUUGUGACAAUAUCAACGCGGUCUACAUGUCCUCCAACCCGGUUCAGCAUCAGCGCACCAAACAUAUUGAGCUCGAUCUUCACUUGUUCGGGAGGGUGUUGCUAUGGGUGACGCUCGAGUACUACAUGUUCCCACAUCAUCUUAGUACGCCGACAUCUUCACCAAGGGGUUGCCUUCUUCUGUAUUCACAGAGUUUAGAUCCAGUCUAAACAUUUGUGGUACCGACGAUUAGACUGCGGGAGCGUGUUAGAAUAUGUGUAAUUGGGCUAGAGCCCGGCUAGGCCCAUGUGCUGCCGGCCCCUUGAUAGGCGCCUGUGCCAUGCCACCGGCCCCAGUCAGGUCAGGCCCAGGGUUUAUUGUAGGAUAGGCAAGGGCUCCUCCUAACCCUAGGACGCUAUCCUAUGUAUAUGUACAUGCUAUGCACCUUCAUAAUCAAUCCACAAUUUCCCUAGCCAUAUUUGCUUUCAAAUGUGACACCUGUUCAUGGAUGCUUGUACAACAUGGACUAUUAUUUGCAGAAGACAUACUACAAGACAGCUGCAAAGCUAUUGCUGUCCUCGCUGAGCAAACAACAGAAGUACAAGCUCUUGCUUAUCAGUAUGGCAGACACUUGGUGUGUUGUAUUUUUCCUUAGACAGAAGCUGUUCCUAUUUUUGCUAGACAAAUGAACUGUUAAAAUGACCUACACUCUCUCUUCCAGGGCAUAGCAUAUCAGUUGAUCGAUGACAUCCUCGAUUUCAAAGGCACAUCAGCUUCACUAGGCAAAGCCUCCUUGUCUGAUAUCCAUCAAGUAAUACAGUUAUUCACUCAAUAUUUCCUCAGUAGUAUUUUACUUUUUAAGAUAUCAAUGACAUGUAAGGAAUCAUAUAUGCCCUGUAUGGACAGGGAAUUGUGAUAGCUCCCAUACUUUUUGCGAUGGAAGAAUUCCCUGAACUGCAUGAGAUUGUUGAAUAGGGAUUUGAUGACCCUUUAAAUGUUAUAAGACGGUACGUAUUGCAAGUGUAUUUUUUUUUGAAAGGAAAGUGUACUUUUCUUUGUUUCCAGUAAUAUAAUGCAACUAUUUGGGUUGUGAAAUGCUCAUAAAUUGUCUAGUGUGGUCUCAGAACUGCUCAAUUUUGCCCUCAAAUACCUUUCAAAAAGUCAGGGAAUCGAGAGGACGAGGUCUGUUGCUGCUGAACAUGCAAAACUGGCAGCGGGCGCUAUCGAUGAUCUUCCUGAUAGCGAGGAUCAAGUUGUGCUUAACUCGAGGCAAGCGCUCAAAGAUCUUACUCAAAAGUUCAUGAGAAGAACAAAGUGAAUUGGUGAAGCAGAAAAUGUAGUAUUGGUUAAACAUGCCAGCAGGCAGUAGAAUCCAUAAUGAUGCAUCAUUUCUUUUAAAAAUGUAACAAUGCAUCAUGCAUGUUUUGGUUGCUGAACAGUUUAUUAUUGGUGACUGAUGAGAACUUCAGCAGGUUUGGAACAAGAGCUUUACCUCUGUUUUCCCUCCAUUUAUACCAUUCAUCUAUUUCUGCAGAUUGCCUGAUGACAGGCAUAACCGCAUAAUGCCAGAGUAGAAGUUGGAUGCAAAAAAGUUGCCUUAUGAGUAUGUAUUAUGUAGAUAGCAAAACAACAUAUCUCUGAAUAAUUGGAGUAAAACAUUAAUAGAUCUUCAAAGAAACACACACUACGAUCUUUUCAUAUGAAAAUCAUUCUCUUUAAUUACAUGGGCCACAUCAUAUAUUAAGAUAAUCUAACAAUGUACUCUAGACCCUGAUGUGCAGGUGGAUGCGAUACUGGCGUCCAUUGUGUAUGCAACGUCAAUCCUAAGCUUUCAUGUCUUUUUCAAAGUAAAAAGCGCAACACUUGGUUGAGUGCAGUCAAGGACCUGGUAUCUGUUCUGAUCACGGAAUACUGUAAAAUGGUUCUGGAUAUGGAAAUCCUGUGUUUCAGAAAGUUCUAUGUACUUAAUAAGUGCAACUGGUUAUAAUUGUCUUUGAUUCUGUGAAGCUCUCUCAAGGCAUCACCAAUCAGCAAGCGGUCUUUUGGAAGUUCCUUCGAGCACAGAAUUCCGAUCUGCAGGAUUGAAGUAACACAGGCAACUAUAAUUUCUCUGGAUCUUGUACUGGCAGUAACUGUUGGUCUACCACACUGGUGACUUGCUGAUCUUGCAGUGCUAUUUGCACGUACCUAUGAAGGUUGAGGUCUUGGACGAAGUUGCUAUCUGUUGGUCUUUUUCCUGUGAAAAUUUCCAACAAUAGUACUCCGAAGCUGUACAUGUCACCAUAGAUUGAGACUCUGUUACCCAGUCCAUACUCUGUUUGGAACACACAUAUUGAGCAAUUAAAAGAAGACUAUCAGCAAUGCUACAGUUACAAUGUUAAAUGAUAGAAAAAGGAGCAAUGCAUUUUACUUGCUUGUGGAUUUCAAUUUUCAACCAAUCAUGAAAGUAAAAUGCAGUGUACUUGUUAGAACCUGACCUGGAGGAGCAUAUCCAAUGGUUCCCCUUCUUGUAGCCCAACCACUUGAUAUAUCUGAGGGGUUGGUCUGGUCUUGAUGCACAAAUCUUGCGAGCCCAAAAUCACCAACAUGGGCAACCAUGUCAUUGUCAAGGAGAAUAUUGCUUGGCUUGAGAUCACAAUGAACUAUCGGGGUUGGUUUGUAGUGGUGAAGAUAUUCGAGUGCAAAAAGCGACAUGAAUGGCAAUGUCUAUCCGUUGGACAAGAUCAAUCCUACUAUGGGUGCCAUGUUCCCUGAGACGGUUGAAUGGAAGAAGCAGUGGAACCUCAGCCUCCUGCGGAAAAAAUGUGGCGGACAGAGAGCCAGCGGCGAGGGCAACAAGACCCGUAAGCCAGGCUGAGUUUCCUUUCAAGGAUUUCCGAUAGAUAUUUUUUUGAGCUCUUUUACGGUAUAUAAUACUAUGUUAUAUUGGUGUUUUAAAAGGACUAGUAUAAAAAUAUCUGAUGACCAAGAUUAAUUGUAUACUACUCAAAACUUCACAUGUGGUAUGGGUAAAGGGUAGUAUACAUAAGUGGUAUAGGUAGUAUAAGGGUAUCAAGAAAAAAGAACACAAAUAACACCACAAUAAUAUUUUUUUGAUACUAGCAUAAAGUCUACAAAAUCUUUCCAUUUGGAAUCUCACUUUUUACAAUGUUAUAAUUACUAAAUUAUUCAUGGACAGUUAGAUCUUCUAUUCUAUAUACCACUAAAUAGUAGUAUUGUGUACCGUAAAAGAGCUCUAUUUUUUUUCCGACUACGUGCAAUUUUGUUAAUAGAACUGAUAGAAGAGGCAGCACCAUUGAGAAAGACUACCAGUAACCAGUCCUUUAUAGCGGGAACCUGCACCGAUCCAUGGCGAAGUGGCUCAUGCGAAACAACCAUAGCAAAUCAUCAGCCAGCAUGUUGCUCUUGAGAAUCAGAUGUUAGAUUUAAUCUUGUUGUACGUGUUGCUUUAUGUUCAGUGCAUCGUUGAGUUCAAGUUAGUAGUGUCCGUGUCUGUCGUGCAGCAUGGCGUAGUGGCCAGGACCUGCAAGUGCAAGCAGAUCGGCAGCCAUGACGUGAGUGUGAGUAUGUGUUGUGGUGUGCGGCCAGGUGCCUGGUCGAGACAUGGCGAGUGCUUAGGAGAAAAUCAGCAGAUGCAUGUGUUUGUUAGUCUGAUCAGUCAUGCAGGCGCACGUUGGCUUGGAGUUGUAGCCAAGUCUAAGUGAACGAGUCAUGGCGAGAAAAGUGGAUCAGAUAGCUCAUGCAUGUAGUCGUUAGUGGUGAUCUGCGUGUAGAGAGAUGUGCCUCGCAUGUAGGAAGGUGAUUAGUGACCACGGGAGAGUUUAGCCGGGUCGCGCGGCCAGACGUGGCUCAACCAGUGUGUGCGUGCGUGUUUAUUUAAGUCGUUGUAAUUACCGCGUUCAUGAGGCUGUGGUGAAGAGAAUAGAAGUGCUGUGACAGCUGCCAGGAGGCAGAGGCGAGGAUUGCAGGAACAUGCGCCUUGUGGCCUGCGUGAUCAGGAACCAGAAACUGCAGAUCACCUCUUCUCCAGGUGCUCAUUCGCUAUGCAAGUGUGGCAUCAAGUCAGUGCAGUACUGAACCUACACAACGCCAUCCCGGCAAAUGAAGUCCGGCUGUUAGACUAGUAGCUCAGCAAGAGAAGCGGUGUCCAUUCAGGGCAAAGGAAAGGCUUCGACUCGGCGUUUAUGGUUGUUUCAUGGAAAAUAUGGAAGGAACACAAUGAAAGGGUGUUUGUAAGAUCACCACCAAAAGGUGCCUCACAGUUGCUGCACGAGAUCAUUCAGGAAGGGCAACUCUGGUGAGCCUCCGGUACAAAACACCUAGCUGUCGUAGGCUGGCCGGUGCCAUCAGGUGUUUUAGAUCAGUAUUCUGAUCUCAGCCUAUCUGUACCUUUUGUAUUGUCGUUGUGGUGGUGUAAUGUAAGCUAAAAUAUACCUAAACUCGUGUGCGUACGCCUGUAUAGGCUCGUGAUGUAUGAAAACUUUUUUCUUUUAAUAUAAAGAUACACAGUUCUCCUGCGUAUUUAGAAAAAGAAAGAAUAGAAGUGGUGUGCAGUGCCGUGAAAAAGAGAUUUCUCGCGUCUGCCUCUGCUUGUGAAUGUGUACGUGUUUACCAUACACCUGAGCGAUCAUAGAGUUUCGUGAGUUCGUGAGGAGACUGGUAGAUCCACCAGCAGCUGCUGCUGCUGCUCUUCGCCACGGCAACCAACAUUGCAACCGCAGAAACGUCUUCGAGAGGCCAUGGGGGCGACGAGAGAGGCACCGGUUGAGGGUGGUCGCCCUGGACCUCUUCUCCCAGGGGCUCACCGGCACCAUCUCCCCUGUCAUCGGCAACCUUACCUUCCCGCGUUCACUCAACCAGAGCUUCAACAUCCUUCAAGGCGAGAUCCCUCCCACCAUCGGCUCCCUAACGCGCCUCCGGCUCAUUGACCUGAGCACAAACAUGCUCACUGGUGUCAUCCCAAGGAACAUCAGCCGCUGCACCAGCCUGGAUACGAUGCACAUCAAUAGCAACAAGGGGACACGGGGAAGCAUACCGGAUGAGAUUGGCAACAUGCCGUCUCUCUCAUAUCUAGUGCUGUUCAAUAACAGCAUCACCGGAACCAUCCCAUCGUCUCUUGGGAACCUUUCCCGGUUGAUCGAGUUGUCCUUGUCGUUGAACUACCUUGAGGGAUCAAUCCCUUCAAGCAUUGGGAACAAUCCAUAUCUCACUUUCCUUCAGCUCUCUGUUAAUAAUAUCUCUGGUUUGCUUCCUCCUUCCCUGUACAACCUGUCAUCUCUUAAUUACUUUUACACAGCAGACAACAAUCUGCAUGGCCGUCUACCAAUUGAUCUGGGGAAAAGCUUUCCGAGCAUCCAAGAGAUUUUCAUUGGAGGAAACCGAUUUUCUGGAGCUCUUCCACAAUCAAUAACUAAUCUGUCCAAGCUGCAGAUGCUUUACGUGGAGAACAAUAGUUUUGCCGGAAUUGUUCCUUCCAGAUUGGGUAGAUUGCAAAAUCUGGAAGUGUUGAUUCUGGAAGACAACAUGUUAGAGGCAAACAACGAGGAAGAGUGGGAACAUAUUGCUUCUUUGACGAAUUGUAGCAGAUUACAAAAGUUAAUCAUUGGAUGGAACAAGUUCGCAGGGAAACUGCCAAGUUCGUUGGCUAAUUUGUCCACCAACCUCCAAUGGCUGCGGACUACCAGCAACAACAUAUCUGGUCUCAUCCCAUCAGAUAUUGGAAAUUUGGGAAGGCUUGAGUAUCUUGAUUUUAGAGACAACUUACUCACUGGGGUCAUUCCUGAAAGCAUAGGGAAGCUUACACUGGGGUCAUUCCUGAAAGCAUAGGGAAGCUUACACGAUUGUGCUAUCUAAUUUUGAAUUCUAACAACUUUGAAGCACGUAUACCAUCUUCCAUCGGAAACCUCACUUAAAUCAUUGUGGUUGGUGCAUAUGCCAACAGCUUGGAGGGGCCAAUUCAGAAAACAUUUAGCCCUAGAUAUAUCAAUUAACAAGCUUACUGGCUUUAUUCCUAAAGGAAUUAUGGAGCUCUCAUCAAUCUCAUCAAUUCUCGAUUUGUCUUACAACUUGCUGGAGGGACCCCUUCCUGCAGAAGUUGGUAAUUUGGUAAAUAUCGAAGAGCUCAGGCUGUCAGGAAACAAAUUGUCUGGUGCAAUACCUGAUGCCAUUGGCAACUGCAAAGUCCUAGAAAUCCUAUUUCUGGAUGGUAAUUCAUUUAAGGAAGCAUACCUGCUACUUUCAGGAACAUGGCAGGCCUCAGUCUAUUGAACUUAACAGACAACAAACUGAAUGGCAGCAUCCCUGGCAACCUAGCAACCAUCACUGACUUGAAGGAUUUGUACCUUGCCCACAAUAAUUUGUCAGGAACAAUCCCAGAACUGUUAGGUAAUUCAACAUCACUGCUCCACCUUGAUCUAUCCUUCAACAAUUUGCAAGGUGAAGUACCAAAAGAAGGGGUUUUCAGAAAUAUAACAGGACUGUCAAUCCUUGGGAACAAUGCAUUAUGUGGUGGAAUACAACAACUUCAUCUCCCAAAAUGCACCAAGUCCACUGUAGGGAAGAAAAAGAAAAGCAUGCCAAAGUUUCUCAGGAUAGUGAUCCCUAUAACAGGAGCCAUCAUGCUCUUGCUUUCAGGGCUUGCCUUAGCUGGAUUUUGUUACAGGAAGUCCAAGGUAGGAUUGAAGAAAGAUGAUGAGCAACCUCAAUUAACAGAGAUAGAGCUUCCAAUGAUUCCAUAUAAUGAUAUACUAAAAGGAACAGAUGGAUUUUCUGAGGCCAAUGUGCUCGGGAAAGGAAGAUACGGUACAGUAUAUAGAGGCACUCUAGAAAAUCAUGCCGUUGCCAUAGCAGUUAAGGUAUUUAAUCUCCAGCAAUCAGGAUCAUACAAAAGCUUCAUGGCUGAAUGCAAGGCACUCAGAAGAGUGAGGCACCGAUGCCUUGUGAAGAUCAUUACAUGCUGUUCAAGCAUCAACCACCAGGGUCAAGACUUCAGAGCACUAGUCUUUGAAUUUAUGGCUAACGGCAGCUUAGACAGAUGGAUCCACUCAAAUGUUGACGGCCAAAAUGGACAAGGAGCACUCAGCUUGUCACAAAGGUUAGAUAUCGCAGUGGACAUCGUUGAUGCUUUAGACUAUCUUCACAAUAGUUGCCAGCCACCGGUCAUCCAUUGCGAUCUAAAGCCAAGUAACAUUCUUCUGAAUCAGGACAUUGGAGCUCGUGUUGGGGAUUUCGGCAUUGCUAGAGUUCUAGAUCAAUCAACAAGCAAAAAUCCAAUGAAUUCCAAUAGCUCCAUAGGAAUAAGAGGCACCAUAGGAUACAUUGCUCCAUGUAACUCAGAUAUGCCCAUGUACUUCACAAGAUAGCAUCUAAUUAGCUCUAUGCACAUGAAACAUCUUUUUUAAUUUUGUACAUACCUUAAAUGCCCCAUAUUGUUUCACUCUAUAGCAGAAUAUGGAGAAGGGCUUGCAGUAUCAACUUACGGUGAUGUGUAUAGUCUUGGUGUUACUUUAAUUGAGAUGUUUACAGGAAGGAGCCCAACAGAUGAUAUGUUCAGAGAUGGGAUGAGCCUGCAUUAUUUUGCUGAGGCAUCUCUUCCUGACAAGGUUAUGGAGAUAGCAGAUUCCAAUAUGUGGCUGCAUGAUGGACUAAACACCAAAAAUGAUACAACGCAUAUGACAAGUAUCAAAGAAUGUCUGUCUUCAGUCAUCCAGCUUGGUGUCCUAUGCUCAAGGCAACUGCCCAUAGAGCCGCUAUCAGUGAGCGAUGCCGCUACGGAGAUGCAUGCUAUCAGAGAUCUAUACAUCACUACUCAACAUUCUGGAUCAUAUGCAAGCAGCGCAAAGAUAUAAGGGUGAUUAAGAAUUUACCCCCUAAUGUCAAUGCAAAAAAAAAACAUACAUUUCACAAGUGUAAAAUAGAGUAUCGCAAAUUGGCAUUCACCAUCCAUGUGUGUGUGGCUGUGUCCCCACUAGCUCCUCGACUUUCUUCCGCACAACUCAUGAGAGAUGCAUGCAGGUCUGGCUCCCUCUCCCUCCUGGAAUGUGCCGUUGGUGCCAUGUAUCUUGGCGUUUGUUCACAUAUAAUCCGAUCUUGAAUGAGCCUCAAGGUCGAAUCUGCGUUAUUACUGCAUUAUCAUUGUCGAGCUCCAGAUGGGUACCAAAUAAACAGAAGAAACAUUGGUAAUUUGGCAAUUAACAUGGUUCAGUUAUCCCUGACCUUAGAAAUCAGAUAACGCCGCAACCAUGGCAGCUCCCGGGGCCCUCGGCCCGCGCCUGCCGAGAGUGAAGAGGAAGAGGGGGGAGGAGGCCGCCGCUGUUCGCCCAGACAUACUAGAUCACAAGCUUCUGCGGGAUCGAACCGGGGUUGGAAAUUAGAACGAAGCGAGAAAUUGACCUCUCGCCCACUGCACCGAGCAAGCGAGGAGUCCCUAGUGCUAAAUGGGAGUGCACCUGGAAGGAGAAGGUGACGACGGCCGAUGAAGCCGGGGCGGCGGCGGCGCACGGGGAGGGGGUAGAAGAUGCCGGUACACGACGCCGGCACAGGGAAAAUUUUCUCGGUGAAAGAAAAAAGAGAGAAAUCACGUUGAGCCGGUUUUUUUUACCGCUCAAAAAUUUCGGCCCUUUUGAAUUCACAACCAAAGAAACUCGGCCCAAAAACCCCUGCCUCCCGGCUCCCCAAAACCCUAAAUUUUAUCCCAUUUCUAUGCAUUGUUAUGUCUUGUUUUCCAUGUUAGGUUGUUUGGAAAUAAUCUAGGUUAUUUUUUGGAAAUAAUCUAGGUUAUUUUGUAUACAAACUGAGGGUUUUUUCUAAAUUUUGUCCAAAAGGAAAACGUCGAAUUCGAGAAAUCCGAUAAACGUGUUUCUUGGUGACCUUCGGUUUUUUCUCUUACCGGUAAGGUAAACCUUGCGCAGGCAGCGAUGGCGAUAAGGUGUGAGGGGUAUGACCAUUUUAUCUUGUGUUUCCCCUUCUAUCUAUAAUGGUCAGUUUUUGCAAGGAAACUGUAAUGACCAUUUGAUCCUAGCCAAUUUCUUCUCUUUAUGUAUGCAGGCAGCGGAUGCUACAAUUUCUUCCUUUUUUUAAGAAAUUUGACCAUCACAAAAUGCAUGAUUCAUUAUGGUUUCCAAAUUCUCAUUCCCAAAGCUGUUUGCUUAUACUCUUUUUUGGUUCAGAUCAGUUAACAUAAGGAUCACAUUGACUGAGAAGUCGGACAGCUCAUGGUACAUCGAUGGUGCUUCUGCUCAUGUACACCAACAUUCAUAACACUUUUUGCAUGUGUAUCAGUUUGUAUACAUUUACCAACACUCAAUGCAUGAUAUCAAGAGGAAACUUGGUUUUCCUCACACCUCCCUUCUGAAAACCGUUUUAAUAGAUGACAACAAGAACUGCAUGACAUGCGUAUAUAAAGUCCUAGUGACCCACGAUGGCGAACAUAUUUCCAGCCAGUGUGGAAAUAGAAGUGGUAUGGUAUCCUGCUGCUGGAUUUUGUUUUCAACAUGCGGAUAGCAAGUCACUGGAUGGGAAUGAGGACUUGGAGGGGACCAAUCAUGUUUGUUACUCUUUGAUUGUUUGAAGAUGCUCAUGUUUCCUAAUUCAGCUAACCAACCUAGGCAGAUUAAUCCCCCACCGUUCGUCCACAAACAGUUAUGUGCACUGUCAACUAUUCAGCCUUCUCUAUCCUACAUAAAUCCAAGAUCACACCCAAGCUAAAGCAUACCAAGGUGUACAUGUCCAAUGGUAUGAUGUUUCACUAAGGCAGCCAACGAUCAUGUCUCCAAUCAGCAUGUUAGGUACACUACAAUGAUGAAAGUUGCAACUAGGAAUUGCUCUUUUGGUUUACAUGAUCUUUUAAGGUAGUUUAGAAUUUUGAUUCCCCCCAUGGCAGAAAUCUCCUUUUGAACAUUCCAAAAAAGUUCGAACACUUGAUGUUUGUAAUCAGAACACACAAGUUUCACGUACGAAGAAAAAGAUUAUGAAUGUAUGCUUUGAUCUUUUUCAGCAGCCUAUUAGUAUUUACUGCGACCUUAUUUACAGUCCAUUAAAACAUGCUUCUGCAUCAAUCAAUUACAGCACAUCUUGAGCACCGGAUUGAUUAUACAAAUGAAGAAUGAUCGAUCUCAUAUUCUCUGACGUAAAUACUGCAAGAGAUGAGUAAACUAGAUGAUACUUAAAAGAAUGCAAACUAACUUAUUUUCUUGUUCUUGAUAACAUUACAAAACUCGUCUGUCAGCCACUCUCCACAAAGUAGUAUAACUUAUCAACAAAAGAAUGCAUAUCAACACAAGUAACUUUCUGAUAAACAAUAUCUCCUGGUCUGUACGUAGCUGUAAAUAAAGCCACCUACUUAUAACUUAACAGACAAUUGGUGGCAGGGGCACUUUCGUAUUCUCAAAAACAUGACUCGGGGUAUUUUUCUGUUUCUACAAUCCCCCACGUUCCUAGCAGUUGAUGCCACAUGUUUGGGUGUUUGGGCCAGUGACACGGGUGGUGAACGGGUCGACACGAACCCACAGCAAGGAGAAGAUUGAAGCAAGAAGGAUUGCCCAGACGACGACGAUGGUUGGGGUACGGUUUUGCCUACCCAUGAGACCCUUAAGGAAGGGGUACAAAUGAACAAUCACCCAGAAGGCGAAGAAGAGCUUGCCAAAGAGUGGCCCCCAUGAUUGGUAACCGCUGUUGAUCGCAUAGGAGAUACCAGCAACAACACCGACCAGGUUGAUAAUCAAGAUGGUUGUUGGUGGGAUGAGAAGGGUUGUCCACUUGAACAUGUAGAGCUCCGCAAAAUCACCUUCUUCAUCAUUGGCCUUUGAGGUGACAGUAAAGUUGGUGUCGAUACCAGCAAGCACCUUGAGAAGACCCUGGAAGACGGCGAAAAGAUGGGCAGAGAUACCUCCAAUAACCCAGAAUUGUUCAUUCCUCCACCAUUCGUCAAUGCCAACACCACUCCACCUCAUCUCAAGGAUACCAGUGGCAAAAAUUGAAAGAAAGAGAGAGAUGAACCAAAUACUAGCAAAGUUGCUAAUCUGCAUUCCAAAAUAGAUUCAGUCAGCAUUUUUGUUCCAUGCUCCUUGUAAUAAAGAACAAUUUUGUGUAACCGAUGCUUACCUCUGGGAUGAUGAACUUCCCAGUGAGCAGACAGAUGGCAGGCAGAACACAGUAUAUGAGAAGUGGGAUAGACGUAAGGGGGUAGAUGGUGGUGUUAAUGUAAGCAAAUCUCUCCAAGAACUUCAGGCGUCCUCCAUAGCCAUACCAUAAGGGGCAAUGCCGGCUGAAAAGAAUUUCCACAGAACCAAGAGCCCACCGGAGCACUUGGUUCAGACGAUCUGAAAGAUUGAUGGGAGCAGAUCCCUUGAAAGCUGGCCGCUUAGGCAUGCAGUAAAUUGACCGCCAGCCUCGUGCAUGCAUCUUGAAUCCAGUAAGAAUAUCUUCUGUCACAGAACCAUAGAUCCACCCAAUCUGCAAUUUGAAACAAACUUGUUACCAUUGACCAAGAAAGUCUUACUCAUGCUAACUUCAACAUAUGGUCAUCAAAUUGCAACGACAAUAGAACAAAAGGUGUGAUGUGAACUAAGGGUUCACAAUCAUGUGCUCACAGUUGCUCAUUACUUCAGUUCCAUGUUAUUUGUAUAUCCACCCCUUCUCCAUAAGAAAAAUGAAAACAGUGUUGAUGUGAGGAUUGUUACGUUACCUCAGUUCCCCACUCAGACUUGUCCUCAUAGCCACAACUUAUGACAUGGAUAGCUUCUUUCAGAAGCGAUUCUGGAGUUGCAGACUGAGGAACACCACCAUAUUCCAUCAGAGUGGAGGCAACAAAAGCUGCGGAUUGGCCAAAUCUCUUCUCCAAGCUCAUUUGAGACAUAAGAAGUGAUUUCUCAUCAUCAAAUCCAGCACCUGACAUAUCAAUAAAUGCCAACAUGCAUACAUGUUUUAGAACACCAAAAAUAUACAAGUAAAAACAGCAUGCAACAAAAAGGUACAAAUUUGAGAAAUUAAAAAUUAGUCUUAGCCAUGAAUAUCUAUAAACAUAAAGGUGUACCUUCAACUCCCUCCUCAAUAUCUUCAAGAUUGAAUACUGGCACGGAACUGUCCACAUGCUUCUGUGACUUUUUCUUGUCUGAGCCCUUCUUCUUUGAUUUGCUUGUCUUCUUCCUGCCACCACAGAGUGAUGACAAGAAACCACCC